GUCGUAUUCACGACCCGUUUCAUUGAUGUGUGUGGUAGCAUGGAAAGUCACAGGAAGUUUAAAGUGGCAUGCUUAUCAGAAGAGGAUGCUUGGGAGCUGUUUCGAGGAAAAGUAAGGCAAGAAACUCUUGAGAGUCAUCAUGAUAUCGUUGAGCUAGCCCAAACUGUGGCCAGAGAGUGUGGCGGUUUGCCACUCGCGCUUAAAACUAUAGGUCGAUCUAUGGCCUACAGAAAGACAGCUAAGGAGUGGAGACAUGCAAUUGAAAUGUUAAGGAGAUCAGCUUCAGAGUUUGCAGGUUUGGGAGAAAAGGUGUAUCGUCUUUUAAAGUUUAGCUAUGAUAGUUUGCAGAAUGAUACGAUUAGAUCUUGUUUCUUAUAUUGUUGUUUGUAUCCUGAAGAUUAUGGCAUUCUUAAAUGGGAUUUGAUUGAUUGUUGGAUUGGUGAGGGAUUCUUAGAGGAAUCUGACAGGUUUAGUGCAGAAAACCAAGGAUACUACAUUGUGGGCACUCUUGUUCAUGCAUGUUUAUUAGAAGAGGUGGAAGAUGAUAAAGUAAAAAUGCAUGACGUUGUUCGUGAUAUGGCUAUAUGGAUAACCGGUGAAAUUGAGAAGGAGAAGCGAAACUUUUUGGUUUGUGCAGGUGCUGGAUUAAAAGAGGCACCGGAUGUUGAAGUAUGGGAAAAUGUGAGAAGAUUGUCAUUGAUGCAAAACCAAAUUGAAACUCUGUCAGAGGUUCCCACAUGCCCUCAUCUUCUCACUUUAUUUCUUGACUUUAAUAGGGAGUUGAAGACUAUUGCGGAUGGCUUCUUCCGAUGUAUGCCUUCUCUCAAAGUUUUGAAGAUGUCAAACUCUGGAAAGCCUUGGAAAGGUUUGGAAUUAAAUUUGGGGAUGCCAAAGUUGGGUUCACUACAGCUUCUUGAUAUUUCACACACCUGCAUACAAGAUUUACCGCAAGAAUUAAAGUUGUUGGUAAAUCUGAAAUGUUUGAAUUUGAGGCGGACAAUUUGGUUAAAUAAAAUUUCAUGGCAACUAAUAUCAAAUUUUUCAAGGUUACGUGUGUUGAGAAUGUUCGCUACUGGCUGGUUCAAUUUUCAUGAAGCACCAGAAGACAGCGUUUUAUUUGGUGGGGGUGAAGUUUUGAUACAGGAAUUGCUCGGUUUGAAAUAUUUAGAGGUAUUGGAGUUGACCUUGGGAAGUUAUCAUGCUCUCCAAAUUCUUUUCAGCUCAAAUAAGCUAAAAAGUUGUAUUCGAUCUCUUUACCUCCAGUUGACCGGAGAUACAGCGUUAAUUAUUGAUGCUACGGCUUUCGCAGAUCUAAAACACCUCAAUGAAUUACGCAUUGAGUCGGCUACAAAGCUGAAAGAAUUGACGGCUGAUUAUACAGAGAUAGUUCGAAAAAGGCGGGAACCUUUUGUUUUCCGCAGCCUUCACCAUGUUACUAUACAAAGCUGCCAGAAGUUGAAAGAUUCGACAUUCCUCGUUUUUGCUCCAAACCUCAAGUCUCUUUCGAUAGUCAAAUGCAAUGCUAUGGAAGAAAUAAUCAGCGUCGGAAAAUUUGCUGAGACUCCUGAGAUGAUGGGACAUAUAAGUCCUUUUGAAAAUCUCCAAAUGAUUGAUUUACUAGGUUUGCCACAUUUGAAGAGCAUCUUCUGGAAGCCAUUGCCUUUCACUCAUCUGAAAGAAAUAUCUGUGCGUUAUUGCCCUAAUCUUAAAAAGCUUCCACUCGAUUCCAACAGUGCAAAGGAGCGUAAAUUUGUUAUUCGUGGAGAAGAAGACUGGUGGAACCCACUUCAAUGGGAGGAUGAAGCCACUCAAAUUGCUUUUCGUUCCUGUUUCCAACCCUUGUUCCUGAACAGUGGUCGCAAAAUUUGAUUUCUGGUGAGUGCGUUUGUCUUUUAAAAAGAAUAAUUUAAAAGAAAUUUAUUCUUGUCGGUUUCUUCACUGUUUUUAUUUCAGUUUCUCUCUCUCUCUCUCUCUCUCUCUCUUUUUGUCUUCUGCAAAUCACAAUUACAUUUUUAUUCUUGUCGUUUUCUUCACUGUUUUUAUUUCAGUUUCUCUCUCUCUCUCUCUCUCUCUUUUUGUCUUCUGCAAAUCACAAUCAAAUGUUGAAUUAAUGGAAUUAAUGCUUCAUAAAUUUGCCGGCACUGCCAUUACUUUUUUUUGGGGGAUCGAAUUGAUACUUUAUUUAUAUCUUCUUAGCGAUUUAAUUUCCUGUCAAAAGACGAACGAGAAGAACAUAUGACUUAAACCAAUGCUCGCAUAAACUUGCUGUAAAAAGAUAUAAUCUCACUGAAAUGCACACGCCUAGAAUGAAUAGAAUUAAAACAGGGAAAAUAUUAAGUAUAUUAGCCCUCUUUACUGAAAAUCAAAUGACAGUAAAUUUUUUGAAGUUUUGAUUUUCUAUGGUCAAUUCCACCUUUUGCAAUUUCUUCUGUUCUAACAAAAACCAAUUUCUUUGUUCAAGUAUUUUCGUUUGGAUAUUAAUAAUUCUCCACCGAAAGAGUGAACUCUUGCUCAAAGGGAUCUCUAAUAAUACAUAACAUGAUUAUUUUCGUUUGAAUAAUUGAUUUCUUGAUUGAAUUGUCGUGUAAUUGAUUUAUGGGGGAUGACACAUCAACAUACUUGAAAAUACACUAAUCUCAGCAUCAUCGGUUAAUAACUUUUAGAUUUAUGGGUAAUCAAUAGUUAAGAUUAGUUGUCAUUAAUACUAAAUAAUUUUUACUUUUUUUGUCUCUUCUAGAGGAUCUUCUAGAAAAAUGCAUCCACAAUUAAAUUUAAUACUUUACAUAAUAAACAAAGCCUAAAUGUUAAAUUUAAGAAACUGCAUUGUAUUUCAGUUGAAGUUGACUUUAAUAUUUAGGGUAGAAAAACAAUUAAUUUUAUUUUUUGAAAUGUCCAUAUUCAGAGCACAUUUCAAAAAGACUCAAUAAUUUCUCAUAAAUUUCAAUUAAAAAUAUUCAAUUUGUUGUUUCAGUUCUUUUAUUUUUUAUUUUUUCCGACAUGAAAGCGACUUAAUGUUACUAAAUUGGGUGGUCUUUGGAUUUUCAUGACCCAAUAAUUGGAACAAAACAAUUUUCUCAAGCGCUCUCCCGCAACAUUUUAUAAUUGAAGCCGCUGCCCCGCCCGUGGUUUCAAACUUUUUUCUUUCUCCUUGUUUAAAUUAAUGGGAGCAGCCUCCGUCCUUGACUAGUUGACUGCUUGUCUUCUUUUUUUUAUUAAUUAAUUAAUUCAGCCGCCCCCCUUUCUUGUCCCAAUAUCUUCUACUUUCGGUUUCCUUUUAUUAUCUCUUUAUUUUUAAAAAAUGCUUAUAAUAAUAAUAAAAUAUAAAAUAUAAAAAUAAAAAUAUAAUUUAUCAGAAAAUUAAGAUAAAGAAAUAUUAUAAGCACAUCAAUCAACAAGUGAAAAAAAAACAAUUUUAAUUUACAUUAAAUAUAAACUUUCAGUGUUAAUCAACUUUUCUAAAUAACUAAAUUAAAAAAUUAAUUGAUUUAAUUGUGGUGUAAUUGAUUUGUAGGGGAUGAAUCAGCAGCAUCAUCGGUUAACGCUUUCAGAUUUAUAGUUAAUCAAUAGUUGAGAGUUGUUAUCACUAACGCCGUGUAUUUUUUAAUGUUUUUUCUCUCUCCUACAGCAUCUUCUAGGAAAGUGCAUCCGUUGCUAAAAUUUAGUAUCGUAAAUAAUAAACCAAGAAUAAAUAUUAAAUCUAAGAAACUGUAUUGCAUUUAAUAUUUAAGGGAGAAAAAUAAUUAUAGUGUCUUUAUUAAUCAGUAAAAAAAAAAAUUAGAAUCAUAAUAAAUUGUAUUGUUAUUGAUGUAUUUAUUUUAUUUUAUACUCAAAAUAAAUUAUUUUAAAUUAUUAAAAUAAUUUAAAAUUAGUAUUUUAUUUUAUACUCAAAAUAAAUAAUUUAAAAUUUUCAUUUCUUGUUUAUUUCGCAAGUUGUUAUUGCCUAAUGCUAUGUCAACUCGAACAUUAGCAUUUUUUUUUUUGGUCCUCUUUUAACGCAAAAUUAGUGUAGGUUAAGUAACAUAAUCAAUAUUAGGACAAUUUGAAAUCCCUAUGGGUGCGUUUGGUACACUGUAUUGUAUUAUACUGUAUUGCAUUAUUUUAAUGCUGAUGUAUUGUAUUAUGUUGUAUUGCAUUAGCACUGUAUUAUAACAAUGCUAUACAAUAUUUGGUGUUACAUUGUACUGUAUUAGAUUUUAAUUAUAUUAUAUUUAGUGUUACAAUUGUUGUAACAUAAACACGACCAAAAUAAAUUGUACUAAAUAAUCUAAGUAAGAGUUCUGUAGUAUAUGUAAUAAUACUAUUUAUAUUAUUAUUAUUAAUAAUUCUAAAUUAAUAUUAUUUAAUUUUAUUCAUAUUUAAAUAUGUAUUAUUAGUUUAUUAAAUUAUUUAAAAUAAUUAAUUUAUAUAUAUUAAUUAUUGUAACUUAAUUAAAUAAUGUAAUGCUAUAUUAUAUUUUUAUAUACUAUUUAAGUAUUUAUUAUUAAUUAUAUUUAAUUAUAAAUUUAUUAAUAAAUUAUAAUAUAAAAAUAAAAAAUAAAAAUUAAUAUUGUAUAAUAUUAUAUUAAAUUAAAGUUUUAUUUUUAUUACUAUUAUUAUAAAGUAAAAAAAAAAAAAAGGGAAGCUACUGACUUUUGAAACACAAAAGUCAGUAAUACAACCUAAUCACGAGGGGGGGCGCGGGUUUUGAUAAUGCGGCAAAAGCUGCAUUGUAAUGCUGCUCAAUGCAAUCCAUUUGAUCACCAAACACAGGUAUAUUUUAACUAAUGCUGGGCCCACAAAAUAAUACAAUGCAAUUCCGCAUGCCAAACAUACCCUAUGGGUGCGUUUGGUACACUGUAUUGUAUUAUACUGUAUUGUAUUAUUUUAAUGCUGGUGUAUUGUAUUAUGCUGUAUUGCGUUAGCAUUGUAUUAUAAUAAUGUUGUACAAUGUUUGGUGUUACACUGUACUGUAUUAAUUUUUAAUUAAACUAUAUUUGGUGUUAUAUUGUAUUGUAUUAAUUUUUAUAAUUAAUUAAAUUAAAUAAUUAAAAAAUAAUAUUUAUUAAUACUUAGAAAAAUAAUAAAUAUAGAAAUCUUAAUUGUAGAAAUUUAACAAAUUUUUUAGUAAAUAUUAAAAAUUAAUGAUUAAAUUUCUAAAAUUUGUAUUAUAAUUAUGAUAAAAUAAAUUUAUAAAAUUUAAUAUUAUAUGUAAAUAAUAAAUUUAGAUUAUAAUUAAUAUUAUAAUUGUUAAUAUAAAUUAAUAAAUUAUUAUUCAAUAAUAUUCAAUUAUAUUUUAAUUUACAAUAUAUUAUUAUUUUUACAUUUUAAUAUAUUAAUAAAUUUAUAAUUUAACAUAAAUAAUUAUAAAUUUAAAUAAUAUUAAUUUUAAAAUUAAUAUUAAUGUAAAUAAUAUUAUAAUAUUAAUAUAUUAUUUUUAUAUGAAUCAUUAAUAAAUAAAAUAAUAUUAUCAUAUAAUUUAUUUUUAUAUUUUAUUCAUUAUAUUAAUAUUUAAUAAUAAAAUAAUUUAUUUUUAUAAUAUUUUAAUAAAAUAAAUUUGCCUCAAUUGAGGCAUUAACUGUUGCCUCAAUUGAGGCAAAAAGCUUCCGCAUCCCUCGGGUUUGCGUAAUGCGGCCCCAUGCCUCAUUAUGCUGCAUUAUAAUGCAGCAUAAUGAGGUGUCAAAUUUUGCCAAACAUGUUCUUGGUAAUAAACUAAUGUGAAUAGUAGUAUAAUACCACAUAAUCUCAUGCACCAAACACGCCCUAUGUGUAUUAUUCACGGUAUCUAUGAGGGCUUAUCCUUUUGCUAGAACAAACUCUAGCAAAUUGUCAAAUGUGCUUAUCCUUUCCCUUGACGACUCAUUUUAAAAUUGUCACUCAUUUUAAAAUUGUCUUUCAAUGCACAAACACAGACAUAACCGCCGACAUCGAGCACCAAGUUUGGAAUUUAAUUGAUAAGCAUACAUUUGAUAAAUUAAUGAAAAGUUUGGAGAGUAGUUUUGAUCACCCUUGAUUAGGACGGUAUUACAAAAAAGAUCAAAAAGAAAACAUCGUCUCUCUUCACAAAAAUAAAUAUUUUCCGUUAGAAUUUAAUACAAUAAUAUUUUUUUUGAUUAAAAUUUAAUUAAAUACACAAAUAAAUUAUAUAUUUUUUAAAAAAAUUUACACCCAGUCACAAGGCUGGCUAUUAAACUUAAAGGGUGGAAGCUUCGGAGACUAAAGUUGGUAACUUCUCCAAGUGGUCUUAAGUUGACCGGAACUACCCAGACUUUAUGUUUGGUAGCCUAGACCUGAUCGGACCUAGGCCCAAGUUUGGUCUUAAAGUCCACAAUUAAAUUAAAAAAAAAUUAUUUGAUUUGUAAUUGAUUUAUGGGGAAUGAAUCCGCAGCCCUAAAAUUACACCAAUCUUGACAUAAUGACAUCAUCGGUUAAAAACGUUCAGAUUUAUGGUUAAUCAAUGGUUUGAGAUUUGUUAUCAUUAAUGCUAGAUAUUUUUUAACAUUUUUUUCUAUCUCUCUUCUCCUGAAGGAUUUUCUAGGAAAAUGCAUCCACAACAAAAAUUUUAAAUUGUAAACAAUAAACAGAGUAUAAACGUUAAAUCUAAGGAACAUCGCUGCAUUUCAGCUGAAGCGAACUUUAAUAUUUUACGGAGAAAAAUAAUUAAGUCUUUAAUGUGAUUUAUUGAUUAAUAUAUAUGACUAAUUUUUUAAAAGAAGAUGAAGGAUGAAGCUUAAAAAUAUAAAUUAUAGAAUUAAUUUAUCUCUUCAAUAAAUCUAAAGUUUAUUUUUUUUAUUACAUGCUUCUAUUUUAUUUUUAUUCCAUGUUAAUGAAUGGAGAUUUAAAUCCAUUUUGGAUUUAUAAAGAUGUUUAGAUAUUUAAAUCCACGUGUGAUUCCAAACUUGAACCUUUUUUUUUUUUUUUUCUAAUUAAUGCAAACAGCCGCCUCUUUGACUGCUUUUCUUCUUUGUUUAUUAAUUAAUUAAUUCAGCUGCCCACCUUUCUUUUCCUAAUGUUUUCUACUCCCAAAUUUUUUUAAGGACAAGGCUACGUUGCAGACGCUGUACCUAACAGCUGCACCUUCGCCAGCUUAAAAAAGGGUGCAUUUGGUAAGCAACUUUUCUUUCGUGUGCAUAUGUGUCCUGCCACCAUUGGGUGUGUACGUAACAGAUAAUGUACCGUAACAAGCUCCUAUUUUUAAAUUUGUUUAUAAUGAUAAAAUAUAAAAAUUAAGAUUAAAAUGUAAUGUAAUGUAAAAUUAAAGGUGGAAGAGUAUUAAAAUAAGGCUAAACCUAUGUUACGUUUAACGUAACAUACAUUUAAAUAUAUAAAAUAUCAAUGGAAACCCUCAAAUUUUAUGGAAACUAUAUUAAUAAAAUUAAAAGAAAUAUUUUUAAAUCUGAAAGAAGAAAUAAAAGAUAUAAAGCAAGAGAUAGGAAAACUAAAAAUAGAAAUAUCUGUAAAAGAAAAAGGAAAAGAAAAAUUAGAAAUAAAAGAAACAACUCCAACUGAAUCGAAUUCAGACUAAUGGAAGAUGUAUUAGAAACUUUAACUGAAAAAUUCAGUGACAUAAAUCUUAGUGAUUUAGAAGACUUUGAAAAAGAAUAUUAGAUAAAAAUGAAUACUGCUGGAGGACCAGAAAUGAAACCUAAUGUAGCAUAACCAAGUCAUAGAUAUGGUAUAAAUAAAAUGAAAAAUAAACCUUUUUACGAGUAUAUACCUCCUAUUAAAAAUACUCCUUGGAAAAAAGAAUACAAACCAAAUCAAGAUACAUUAACCCCAAUAAAUAAUGCUGGAACAUUUUUAAAUCUAGAUUGUAAGAUAGACAUUCGAAAGGCGUUAGCAGAAUGGGUGUUACAAAUGAAAUUAUUUUUUAUAUUUAACGGGUCAAAGGAUGACUAGAAUGUAGAGACUGAAGAAGAAAAAAUAGAUAUAUUUGUUGAAAUCUUAAUAGCCAGUUUUUCAGGAAAUGUGUUUAAUUGGUGGAGAGGAUUAAGCGAUGAUACACAAAACUUAAUAAAAGAUUCAACCAAAUAGCAUUUAGAAAAAAUAAAGCCUUAGGAAUGGAAAGGAUAACUGAAUACAUAGCUAGUGAAUUUUUAGGAGAAGAUUGGCUAGAAAAAUCGGGCAUAUAUGAAAAUUUAAAAAUUUAUGAUAAAAAGAUCUUAGUGUUUUUAUUAAAAAAUUAAAAUUUACAUGACUAUUUCUUUAAAUAUUUAGGGCAUAUAUGAACCACGGAGGAGAAAAGCUUUAUUUAAUAUUUUAGAAUAGUUUUUGAUCAGUACAAUUGGGUCCUUAUUCAGAAUUAUUGUUCUCUUCCGCAACAGUUUUUGUUUAUCAAAGUCGUCAAUUAAAAUUUUAGAAUUCUUAUCAGAAGAAGUAGUCGUUUUAGAAGUUGGGUCUUGGAUCAAAUUUCUACGAGUGCAUGAAUUAACAAUAAAAAAAUUUCAUUACACACGGUUUAAGCUACAAACUACUAUUUGCACAGUUGACUAUAAAACUUACCUCCAAUUACACUAAACCUCUCUAUUUGGUAACGUUGAGACUAAAUUAAUUUUAUUAGCAUGAAAAGAUGAUAGAAAUAUAAUUAUAAAUAUUAUUGUUGUUAAUCAAUUAGUACAUGUGAUAUAAAGGUUAAAUGUGCACUAUAUUUAAUAAUUAAUUAGUGGAGCAUGUUAAACAAAAUGUUAAUGUAUAUUUAUAUAGUGUUAGGAAUAUGCAAAGUCAAGUCCUCAAUUUGCAUUAUCCUGUAUAGAAUAUUACUCUAAAAAUGUUUUACUAUAAUUGGCUUAGAACAUUUGUAAAGAAAAAUAAUAAUAAAAUAAUAAAUAACAUACACCGUCACAUAGCACCUAGACAAUGAUAGAAAAUUAUUAAAGAGAGUGCAAACAAUUAAUUAGAGAUUUUUAUGAUGACUUUUAAUAUUCAUGAUAAUAACAAAUAAAUACAUGUAUCACUUUUUUAAAAUAUUAAAUUUGACUGCUCCAUUAAUAAAUUAUUAUUGUAAUUCAGACUCUAUCUAUAUAUCCUUGCACUAAGAAUAAUUAAGGUAACGUUUGUUUUUUAACUUAAUGACUUAAAGUGACUUAACUUAAUUAAUUAAGUUAAUUAGAGGUGUUUGUUUUAUAACUUAAUGAGACUUUUUAGAUAAUUUUGACUUAAUAAAAUAAGCUAAUUUUUUUUGGCUUUUUACUUAAUGGAGAAAUCUGAAUUAAGUCAAUUACUUGCUAAUGUCAAAAAUAUCCUUGUUUUAUAAUUUAUUUUUCAUGUCUAUCCCAAAACUCGCCCGUAGAUAUUUACCCCACAUAAAAAUAUCCCUGUUUUUUUCUUUCUUAUAUUAUAUACGAUAAAAUUUGAAAUUUAUAGUAUUUUAUAUAUUAAAAUUCUAAAAUAAUUAUGUAUUCACUUGAAUAUAGUUUUACUUAUAAAUGUUAAAAUAUGAUGGUAUUUAAUAUAUUAUUUAUUUGACAUUCAAAUUUAAUAAGGAUACAAAUGUAAAAGUACAUAUUUUCAGCUUUUUAAAUUGAAAAAAAAUAACUUAAUAUUUAUUUUCUGAGAUUCAGACGAAAAAAUAAACAUAUUAUUCAGAUUCAUACAUUCAGAUCUAUUCAGAAUUCAAACUAAUUCAAGUCUAUUCAAAUUUUAGACAAAAAAAUAAACGCCACCUAAGUCAUAAUAAAAAUUUUCGUAACUACAUCUCGUUUCUUCCUCAUAAUAAUAAUUAGAUUGGUUCGAAUAUUAUAACUAUAUAGAUUUAGUGUAUAGCCACAUCCAAUUUAAAUAUUGACCCAAUUGGGAUGGUCCCCAAAAAAAAAGAUUCGUUAAAGGAUAAUUCUAAUUAUUUUUACUUCUCAAACGUUAGUGGGACGUUUCUAUUAGCGCACUCGUAAGCCAAGUUGUCAAAUAUUUAUACUAAACUACAAUUGCUAACAAGAAAAAUCAAGAUCGUGUUAAGCAAGUGGGUCCCGAAUAGGACGUGCAAAUCUCUCGUAAGUCAAGUUGUCAAAUGUUUAUAUAAAACUAACAAUUACUGACAAGAAAAAUCAAGAUCGUAUUAAAAAUGGGUCCCGAAUAGGAUUAUCUUUUUAAGAAUAUUAUUAUUUUAUUAUUAAAAUUUUAUUAAUAUAACAGUAUUAAAAUUUAUUAAAAAAUAUAUUUUAUUAUUAAAAUUUUAUACCGUUAUCAAUUUAUUAUUAUUUUAUUAAAAAAAUUAAUAUUUAACAAAAAUUGAGAUAAAAAUUAAUUUUUGUUCUCUGUCUUUAUUUAUUUAUUUAUUUUUUUGGGUCUUCUGCAAAUCACAAUCAAAUGUUGAAUUAUAAAUUUGCCGGCAUUGCUUUUUUUUUUUUUUUUGGGCCGGGGGGUGGUGUUGAAUUGAUGCUCUGGGUUUUUGACUUUUGUUGUCAAAUUUUACUCUGUUUUUCCCAAAUUGAUGCUANNNNNNNNNNNNNNNNNNNNNNNNNNNNNNNNNNNNNNNNNNNNNNNNNNNNNNNNNNNNNNNNNNNNNNNNNNNNNNNNNNNNNNNNNNNNNNNNNNNNNNNNNNNNNNNNNNNNNNNNNNNNNNNNNNNNNNNNNNNNNNNNNNNNNNNNNNNNNNNNNNNNNNNNNNNNNNNNNNNNNNNNNNNNNNNNNNNNNNNNNNNNNNNNNNNNNNNNNNNNNNNNNNNNNNNNNNNNNNNNNNNNNNNNNNNNNNNNNNNNNNNNNNNNNNNNNNNNNNNNNNNNNNNNNNNNNNNNNNNNNNNNNNNNNNNNNNNNNNNNNNNNNNNNNNNNNNNNNNNNNNNNNNNNNNNNNNNNNNNNNNNNNNNNNNNNNNNNNNNNNNNNNNNNNNNNNNNNNNNNNNNNNNNNNNNNNNNNNNNNNNNNNNNNNNNNNNNNNNNNNNNNNNNNNNNNNNNNNNNNNNNNNNNNNNNNNNNNNNNNNNNNNNNNNNNNNNNNNNNNNNNNNNNNNNNNNNNNNNNNNNNNNNNNNNNNNNNNNNNNNNNNNNNNNNNNNNNNNNNNNNNNNNNNNNNNNNNNNNNNNNNNNNNNNNNNNNNNNNNNNNNNNNNNNNNNNNNNNNNNNNNNNNNNNNNNNNNNNNNNNNNNNNNNNNNNNNNNNNNNNNNNNNNNNNNNNNNNNNNNNNNNNNNNNNNNNNNNNNNNNNNNNNNNNNNNNNNNNNNNNNNNNNNNNNNNNNNNNNNNNNNNNNNNNNNNNNNNNNNNNNNNNNNNNNNNNNNNNNNNNNNNNNNNNNNNNNNNNNNNNNNNNNNNNNNNNNNNNNNNNNNNNNNNNNNNNNNNNNNNNNNNNNNNNNNNNNNNNNNNNNNNNNNNNNNNNNNNNNNNNNNNNNNNNNNNNNNNNNNNNNNNNNNNNNNNNNNNNNNNNNNNNNNNNNNNNNNNNNNNNNNNNNNNNNNNNNNNNNNNNNNNNNNNNNNNNNNNNNNNNNNNNNNNNNNNNNNNNNNNNNNNNNNNNNNNNNNNNNNNNNNNNNNNNNNNNNNNNNNNNNNNNNNNNNNNNNNNNNNNNNNNNNNNNNNNNNNNNNNNNNNNNNNNNNNNNNNNNNNNNNNNNNNNNNNNNNNNNNNNNNNNNNNNNNNNNNNNNNNNNNNNNNNNNNNNNNNNNNNNNNNNNNNNNNNNNNNNNNNNNNNNNNNNNNNNNNNNNNNNNNNNNNNNNNNNNNNNNNNNNNNNNNNNNNNNNNNNNNNNNNNNNNNNNNNNNNNNNNNNNNNNNNNNNNNNNNNNNNNNNNNNNNNNNNGAAGGGUCUCUAAUCAAUAGCUGGAAGCAAUUGAGAAGGCGGUUGCUACAGUGAAUUCAAAUGUAAAAUGUUUGCUAUUCUUCGAUUUGGUUAAUGAUUUCGUAUGAAUAUUGUUGUUCCGUUGAGUUGCAUGCGAAUUCAAAUGCAAAAUAUUCUUCGAUUUUCAAUUUUGAAAUCAAAUUUUUUUUUCCUUCUCAAGCAUGUUAUGCAGAAACGAUUGUCAUGUUAUGCAGAAACGAUUUUUACUAAAUCAUUUUUAACAAACUAUUGAAAUUAAACCACUGGAAUAAGAAUUGUAAGGAUUUAUCGUAAGCUUACUAAUACGAUAAUUCUGAAACUAUCACCUUUUUUUUUUUAUUUGUUGCAGGGAAACCCAAAUUUUGUAUUUUGUCAAUUUCAUCUGAUAUGGAAUUUAUUUCCUCCCUAAAGAUUUAUCAAACUGCUUCUCUUCCCUGCUUCAAUAUCUUUAUGCAAUUACGAUCUCAUAGGAAAAGAGAGUUUGGGUUGUAUAUCUUAUAGUAUUUAUUUAUUUUUUGUUAAAAGAAAUUUAUUUUAAAAUAGUUUAUAGCAACAGUUUUUAUUUAACAAUAAUGAGGAAGGAUUAUUAUAGGUUCAAAUAGUUGUUAGAACAUUAUAAAAAAGUCCAUUUACUAUCAAAUGUUUUAAAUUGGUGCAACGUGAUAAUUGUCUCAUAUAAUUUUUUAAGGGUAAAAACUCGUUUCAUUCCCAUAUUUUAAGAUUAUUACUCAUUUAGUCUUUAUAUUUUUAAAAAUGUUUCAAAACAUUCAUACCCUUAAAUUAUUAACAUCUCUGCUGUUACUUUUUAUUUUUUUUUGACUUGUUUUUACAAUAUUGCCCUCUUACAAUAAUGUUUCUUUUUAUAAAAUUAAUAAAAAGAAAAAAAAUUAAAUUAUCAAUUUAACCCCAAAAAUAAAAUAAAAAUAAAAAGAAUAAAUAUUAAUUUUUGUGAAAGUUUACAUGUGUCCAAAAUAAAUUUUAUUGUAAAAAUAAUUAAAUUGCCUUUUUUUUGGACAUUAGUAAUAAAAAAAUUAAUAUAUUAAUUCCUCAGCAGUGUGUUACAAAAAAGUAAAAUAUAUUAAUUUUGUUUUUAUUUUAGACAAUGAGAUAGAGAAAAGUACAAGAUAAAGGAAAGGACUUCAAAACUCACUGUUCAUCAUAAUGCCCUUUGCCUUUAAAAAAAAAUCAUUCUAAUAUUUUAUAACACAUAAAAUAUAAUCCUAAGAUAAAUAUAAUAAUACAUAUUUUAAACUAAUCUCGAUAUUUAAAAUAUGUUUUAAUAUUUUAUAAUCUAUCAGACAUAUUUUAUUAUAUUAAUGUAAAAUUUAUAAUAAAUACAAACAUAUUAUUAAAAUAAAUAUAUAAAAAAUAUUUAUUUUUUAUAUGUUUACACUGAGGACUCUCUUUAAUUCAUUUAUUUUCUCUCUCUCCAAACAGGUACUGUCUUCAGUUAGCAAUGCUAUGAUAGUAAUCCAAUUCUCUUCUCCCCCACCUGAGCGAGAUUUGAAUUUGAAUCCCUUGUUUUUCACCCACUCUGUUUUUUUUCACGCAAGAUUUGACAAUUUGAGUUAAAAAAUAUGGUCCAAAACUUGAACACGUAUCUUUUAAUUGUAAUAAAAGUUCUUUAAGCUUUGGAGAUGGCAUAUAUAUGGCUGGAAGUGUCCUUUUCUUUGACCUAGAGGCAGCACCAAGCUAUCCAGCAUCAUCAUUUUUCAAGUGGGUCUUAAAUGCCUAGAAACGUUGGUGUUUCUUGAUUUAAAGAUGACACAUGCUAUAAGUGUGAAUGGUUUGGCUAAGCCUAAAUUUAAAGUCUACUCAAGUCGCAUUCAGGAUCAUGGAAAUUGGAAAGGGAGAGAUGAUAGCAAGAUUUAUAAUAAACAAUUAACUUGGGUCCUCAGUGUACAAAGCAAAUGCCACGCAAGCGAUAGCCGGCCCAGCCCAGAAAACCCAGUGGCGAUCCCAGAGAUGGCCUCCUCUAACGAGUGCUGGGCCCAAAAAUCUUUGCGGGUUGAGCCCAGCUCCGGCAUAGCCCUUUUGAGCAGUAACAGUUGUCGAGACAAAAACCAGAAGACCCAACACUGUUCCAAUGACAAUGCAUACGGUAAACUCUGCCAAGAGCCUUGGCUUGUCUGGAGUCAAAAGCCAUCCACACAGAAGCAAAAAGGAACACAAACGAGCAAAUUAUCUCAAGCCAAAGGGCCUGCCUAGUCCCCAAGCCGAUCUCAACAGGCCCAUCUGGCCCAGGUACGACAACAUUCAGGGUGCAGCCUCCAAGUUGUCAAAUAUUUAUAUUAAACUACAAUUGCUGACUAGAAAAAUCAAGAUCGUAUUACAAGUGGGUCCCGAAUUGGACGUGCCUAAAUCUUUUUAUAAUUUUCCCAGUGUAGCGGACAGAGGUCAUUACUAAAUUUCUCUUCCACACGCCACAGCAGCUUCGGUUAAUCAAACUCAAUCAAUUUUCUUGGCUUCUCCGCUUAUCAAUAUUACAAGGUAUGGGUAGCAUUUUUCAAAUCACAUGCGAUGGUACUAUUUUCAAUCGUUGCUUAGAUUGCUUUCUUGGAAAAGCAGCAUACAUAAGUAACCUCCAAGAUAAUCUUGUUGCCUUGGAGACUGAACUAAGGAAACUAAUCGCAGCAAAGAACGAUGUGAUGACGGCGGUUGUCAAUGCUGAACGGCAACAAAUGAGAAGGCUGGACCAAGUGCAAGUGUGGGUUUCGAGGGCGGAUGCUGUUAAAAAUGAAGCUGAUGAACUUAUCAGAGGCGGCUCUCAAGAAAUUGAAAAAUUAUGUCUUAGAGGGUUCUGUUCCAGGAACUGCACGUCAAGCUACAAGUUCGGAAAACAAGUGGCUAAAAAGCUACGAGCUGUGGAGACUUUAAUCGCCGAAGGAGUUUUUGAGGCGGUGGCUGCCGAGGUGGUGCCUGAGAGAGCUCCAGAGCCUGUAGCAGAUGAAAGACCUACCGAGCGAACAGUAGUAGGCUUGCAAUCACAACUUGAACAAGUCUGGAGAUGUCUUGCAGAAGAAUCAGCGGGAAUCAUUGGCCUAUAUGGUAUGGGCGGUGUUGGUAAAACUACACUAUUGACCUAUAUCAACAAUAAAUUUCUCGAGAGUCCAACCAACUUUGAUUGUGUGAUUUGGGUAGUAGUUUCAAAAGACCUGCGACUUGAAAAACUUCAAGAAAAUAUUGGGAAAAAGAUAGGUUUGGUUGAUGAUUCAUGGAAGAGUAAAAGUGUAGAGGAGAAAGCUCUCGACAUCUUCCGGAGUUUAAGAGAGAAGAGAAUUGUAUUGCUGUUAGAUGAUAUAUGGGAGCGGGUUGAUUUAACAAAAGUGGGCGUUCCACUUCCAGGACCACAAAAUACUACCUCAAAAGUCGUAUUCACAACCCGUUUGAUCGAUGUUUGUGGUAGCAUGGAAGCUGACAGGAAGUUCAAAGUAGCAUGCUUAUCAGAAAAGGAUGCUUGGGAACUGUUUCGAAAAAAAGUUGGGGAAGAAACUCUUGGAAGUCAUCAUGAUAUCGUUGAGCUAGCCCAAACUGUGGCCAAAGAGUGUGGUGGUUUGCCACUCGCACUUAUUACUAUCGGUCGAGCUAUGGCCUACAAAAAGACAGCCGAAGAGUGGAGACACGCAGUUGAAGUUCUAAGAAGAUCAGCUUCGGAAUUUGCAGGUUUGGGAAAAGAGGUGUAUCCUCUUUUAAAGUUUAGCUAUGAUAGUUUGCAGAAUAAGACGAUUAGAUCUUGUUUCUUAUAUUGUUGUUUAUAUCCUGAAGAUUAUGGCAUUCUUAAAUGGGACUUGAUUGACUGUUGGAUUGGUGAGGGAUUCUUAGAGGAAUCUGACAGGUUUGGUGCAGAAAACCAAGGAUACUACAUUGUGGGCACUCUUGUUCAUGCGUGUUUACUAGAAGAGAUAGAAGAUGAUAAAGUAAAAAUGCAUGACGUUGUUCGUGAUAUGGCUCUAUGGAUAGCUUGUGAAAUUGAGAAGGAGAAGAGAAACUUUUUGGUUUGUGCAGGUGCGGGACUAAAGGAGGCACCUGAUGUUAAAAGAUGGGAAAAUGUGAGAAGAUUGUCAUUGAUGCAAAACCAAAUUGAAACUUUGUCAGAGGUUCCUGCAUGCCCUCAUCUCCAUACUCUAUUUCUUGCCUCUAAUAAUAGUUUGCAGAGGAUCACCGAUGGCUUCUUCCAAUUUAUGCCUUCUCUCAAAGUUUUCAAGAUGUCAAACUGCGGGAAUUUAAUUUUGGAAUUACCUUUUGGGAUGUCAAAGUUGGGUUCAUUGGAACUUCUCGAUAUUUCACAUACCUACAUACAAGAGUUACCACAAGAGUUAAAGUUGUUGGUAAAUCUGAAAUGUUUGAAUUUGAGGUGGACAAGCGAGUUAAAUAAAAUUCCACGGCAGCUAAUAUCAAAUUCUUCAAGGUUACGUGUGUUGAGAAUGUUGGGUACUGGCUGGUUCAAUUUUCAUGAAGCAUCAGAAGACAGCGUUUUAUUUGGCGGGGGUGAAGUUUUAGUACGGGAAUUGCUCGGUUUGAAAUAUUUAGAGGUAUUGGAGUUGACCUUGCGAAGUUAUCAUGCUCUCCAAAUUGUUUUGAGCUCAAAUAAGUUAAAAAGUUGUAUUCGAUCUCUUUACCUCCAGUUGACCGGAGAUAGAAAGUCGAUUAUUGAUGCUACGGCUUUCGCAGAUCUAAACCACCUCAAUGAAUGAUUGAUUUUUAAAGGUUUUGAGUUGGAAGAAUUGAAGAUUGAUUAUACAGAGAUAGUACGAAAAAGGCGGGAACCUUUUGUUUUCCGCAGCCUUCACCGUGUUACCAUAGAUUCGUGCCUUAAAUUGAAAGAUUUGACAUUCCUCGUUUUUGCUCCAAACCUCAAGUCUCUUUCGCUAUUCAAUUGCCGUGCUAUGGAAGAAAUAAUCAGCGUUGGAAAAUUUGCUGAGGUUCCUGAGAUGAUGGGACAUAUAAGCCCUUUUGAAAAUCUCCGAAGUCUUCGUUUGUCACAUUUGCCAAAUUUGAAGAGCAUCUACUGGAAGCCAUUGCCUUUCACUCAUCUGAAAGAAAUGGUGGUACAUGGGUGUGAUCAGCUUAAAAAGCUUCCACUCGAUUCCAACAGUGCAAAAGAGCGUAAAUUUGUUAUUCGUGGACAAGCAGACUGGUGGGACCGACUUCAAUGGGAGGAUGAAGCCACUCAAAUUGCUUUUAGUUCCUGUUUCCAACCUUAACUUGAUUUCUGGUUAGUGCUGUUUCCUUAACUUUUACAUAUAUUCUCGUCGUUUGCUUCGUGCAAAAUACUAGGUCUUUUGUUCUCUGUUUUUAUUUCGCCCAUUUUUUUUUUUUUUUUUUGUCUUCUGCAAAUGACAGACAAAUGUUGAACUAAAAGGAAUUAAUGCUUUAUAACUUUGCCGGCAUUGCUUUUUUCUUUUUCUUUUUUGAUUUUUUGGGGCGAGGGGGGAUCGAAUAGAUGCUCUGGUUUUUGACUUUUUGUUGUCAAAUUUUACUCUGUUUUUUUCAAAUUGAUGCUUGAAUAUUUGAAUCAAAUUAAUGCUCACGUAAAUUUGUUCAGUUGCCGUAAAAGGAUAUAAUUACACUGAAAUACACAAACUCUAGAAUGAAUAGAAUUAAACAGAGAAAAUCUUGAGUAUAUUAGCCGUCUUCACAUAAAAUCAUAUGAAAAUUAAAUUUUGAAGUUUUUAUUUUCUAUUUUUAAUCAUACCCUUUAUAAUUUCUUCUGUUCUAACUACAAUAAAAUUUUUGGUUCAAGGAUUUUUAUGAGGGGUAUUAAUAAUAGUCCACCAAAAGAGUGAACAGUUGGAUGCUGCCCUAAGGGUCUCUAAUCAAUAGCUGGAAGCAAUUGAGAAGGCGGUCGUUACUGUGUACAAAGCCAUGCAGUAUUUGCUAUUCAUCUUAGUAAUUAUGAAGCUUUGGUAAAAUUUUCAAACAAAGUUGACAUGUUAUUUUGAGAUUUGGUUCAUGAUUUUGUAUGAAUAUCGUUGUUCCAUUGAGUUGUAUAUGAAUUCAAAUGUAAAAUAUUCUUUGGUUUUCAAUUUUGAAUUCAAUUUCUUUUCUUAAGCAUGUUGUGCAGAAAUGAUUUCUACUAAAUCAUUUUUGAUAAACUACUUAAAUUAAACAACUGCAAUAAGAACUGUUAAGGAUUUAUCGUAAGCAGACUAAUAUGAUAAUUCUGAAACUAUCAUUUUUUUUUUCAAUUUGUUGCAGGGAAAGCCAAAUUUUGUAUUUUUCAGUUUUAUCUGAUAUGGAAUUUAUUUCCUCUACACUAGCUACCUAAAGAUUUAUCAAAUUGCUUCUCUUCCCUGCUUCAAAUUAAUAUCUUUAUGCAACUACAAUCUCAUAGGAAAAGACAGUUUGGGUUGUAUUUAUUAUAGUUUUUUUUUUCGUUAAGAGCAAUUUAUUUUAAAAUCGUUUAGUAGUAACAGUUUUUAUUGAAUAAUAAUGGGGUAGGAUUAUUAUAGGUUCAACUAGUUGUUAGAACAUUAUAAAAAGUCCAUUUACUAUCAAAUGCUUUAAAUUGGUGCAACAUGAUAAUUGUCCCACAUAAUUUUUAAUAAUAUAUAUGGCCCAUAAAUUUAAUAUGAAUAAAUGAGUUUCGAUAGUUAAAUUUGAUACGAUUAUUAAAUAAGUUAUAUCCAUGUCAAUUCGACUUAAAAUCUGGUAAAUUUAGAUUUAGAGUUUAUAACAUGAUAACUUGUUUUAUGACAUGAUUUACUAAUCAAUUAAUAUUAAAUUAUAUUUUAGCCAAUCAGAUAUGUGGUACAUUUGUCAAAUUUUAAAAAUUAUUUAUUUAUAUAUGAAAUAAAUUUGACUAGACUGUGUGUAGGUAAUAGUGCAUAAUUUCUAAAAAAAUGUAAUAAUAACACGUUAAAAUGUUAUUUUUAUGAAGAAAAAUUGAAAUUUUAUUAAAUAGGCGACACAAUAAUAAAUGGGUUGAGAUUAUUUACAUUUUAAGAAUUACUCUGAACAUUAUUUUAUUUUAUAAAUUUUAUAUUACAAAAACACCCAUAGUUUAAUUUACCAUUAAGAACAAUUUUGUGCGAUUAAAUAAAAUACAUUACUCUUUACCCUUUCACUACAUCGACAUAAAUCCUAAUUGUUAUGUUUCUAAUUUCUUUGAUAUGCUUAUUGAAGUCCACAUUAUAAUCAAUUUUAAACUAUUAUACCACUUAAAUACAUUUUAGAAUGAGAAGUUUGGUUUUCUUCAUGGGCUGCCUUGCUGAUGCUGUUAUUGAAACUAUCGAACUUAAUAAUUUUAUGGCCAAAAUGAUAUAUGUUGAACCAGCUUUUACAUCGAAUUCUACCACCAUAAAAAAUCGUACUUGUAACAUCUCAAGGUUCCAAUUUAUCAAAAGUUAAUCAUUCAUAUUUGUUAGUUCCUAACAGUCACAAGAGCGUACAAGCCAAUUUUUGUAGCUCCUUUUUCUGCAGUAGAUUCAAGUAUAUUAUUAUCAAGCAUUUUUGUUACACCCUUAAUUCCUUAUCAUCAUCCCUUCAUUCAGAGCAACUAAACAGAGGUCAAUGUCAUUAUGUUAGAGUUACGAGGAAGAGUACUGCCAAAAAAGUUCUUUGUAUGGGAUUUAAUUUUCUGGGUUUGUAGUGAUGAACAAAUUGAGGGUUGUUUUGGUAUUUUCAAGAGUGUAUUGAGUGAAAAUUAUUUUUAAAAAAUUUAACAAAUGAGUGUAAUGAGUAAAAAAGUGUUUAAAGUAUUUUUUAGAGUACAAAUAGCUCCACCUUAAUAAAUGAGUUCUUGUAAAAAUUGAGAUUAUUGAUAUAAUUAUUAAAUAGGUUGGAUUGAAGUUAGUUUAAUUUUGACAAGAUAAUAAGACGACGCGACACAAAUACAACCAACCAGUCAACCCAAAUUGCAACCUUUUACUAAUAAAAGAUACCUGUUUGAAAAGUAAUUAUAAGCUAUCUUCUUUGUGUUAUUUCUCUAAAAAUUUGCGGCACAAAUAUUAUUUCCAUGGAGAAAAGUACGAAAUACCCGCUUUCACUUCAGCAGAAGCAAAGCAAAGCUAUGAGCCAUCUCUGUAUAAUUGAAACGCCAUUGCUAAACGGUUCUUGAUGAUGGGUGCCACCGUGCCAGCGUUGUCGCUGAUUUGCAUGAUUUAUUAGUUGUUCAGAUGGCGGAUUUUGUACUGUCACUUUCAUUUCAUUCUUGAGAGCCACGUACAAUACUAGGUGGCAUUGAAGUUGCCCCAGUGGUUAGUUUUCUGAUUUUUUUUAAUUCAAAUUUUUAUGUUUUAGAAAAAUGUAAGAAAUAUGUAGAAAUGUUGACAGCUACAAUUUUGAAACUUUGCCUAAAAUUAUUAUCGUUGCUUAUUGUUUCUUAGCUAAAGAGAAAUCCUAGAAACAUGAAAUUAUUAUUCUAUGCUUGUUUUAAUAUUAUACAUUAGCAGGUUAAUUAAAAAUUAGACGUGAAUACAACAAGAGAUAAGUGGAGAGAAUUUGGUAGUCGACCGCAUUUAGAAUUUAAUUUUUCUUUUAGCUGCCGAUCAUUAAAUUUUAUAUUUCAGAAAAUUAUACCUAGAAUAUUUCAAGGAUAUACUACGAAGAUUAUGAAGGUUUGAUUACAUGUCACUAUCAAUUGCCUCAAUCAUUUGUAGUAAAUUAAUUAAUCAUUUUGCUGCAAAUGAUUUCCUAUUAAAAAAUUCAAGUCAGAGCUGAAUUGCACAGUAGUUAGUCGUGCUUGCAAUUCAAAUCAAGUAUUGUAUUUUCUGCCUGAUUUGGUUGAUUCAACUAUGUGCAUUUGCAUAAUGGAGAUGCUUAUGAACGUUGUAGUAUAGAAAUCGAAACGUCUUGUCUUUUGCUAAGCCCAGAAGCAAAGUUCUUUGUAUUAUACUCAUCAGUUUUCUUCGUUCUCUUCGUUGAAAUUUUAUCCAAACAGCGGUUUCUUCGAAUUUUUGCCCUCUCUUACAUUUUUAAAUCUAUCAAAGAACGGUUACCUGAGAAGAUUGCCAUCAGGUAUUUCGAAAUUGAUUUCACUACAAUACCUUAAUCUAUCAGAUUUUAAUCUAUCAGAUGCUCCCGUCACUCAGUUGCCAAAAGUGACAAAAGCCUUAGUAAAUUUUUAGAGUAAAAACUCAUUUAUUCCUUAUAUUUUAAGAUUAGUAUCUAUUUAGUCCUUAUAUUUUGAAAAAUACCUUGAAACAUCACUGCCAUUAAAGUAUUGAUACCCUUACCGUUACUUUUUAUUUAUUUUGGCUUAUUUUUACAAUAUUACCCUUUAAUAAUAAUUUUUUUGUUUAGACAUUAAUAAAAAUAAAAUAAUUAAAUUACCAAUUUAAUCCUAAAAAAUAAAAAUAAAAAUUUAUAUUAAUUUUUAAUUGUAAAAAAUUGUAUGCAAACUACCAAAUGUGCAAACGGUGCUUGCAAAAAAAUUAAUAUAAAUUUUUUAUUUUUAGGGUUAAAUUAGUAAUUUAAUUAUUUUAUUUUUAUUAAUGUCCAAAAAAUUAGUAAUUUAAUUAUUUUCUUUUUAUUAAUGUCCAAAAAUUAUUAUAAAAGGGUAAUAUUAUAAAAGUAAGCUAAAAGAAAUGAAAAGUAACGGUAGGGGUAUCAAUACUUUAACGGUAGGGAUGUUUCGAGGUAUUUUUAAAAAUAUAAAGAGUAAAUGGACACUAAUAUUAAAAUACAGGGACUAAAUAAGUUUUUAUCCUAAAUCUUUAAGUGUUUGAAUUGGAGUACAUAAAUUAUCUCUCUACAAUUCAAAAACAACAGAUUUGUUACUUUUCAACGCUACAGGUUCCGCGAAUAUUCAGUUGUGGUUAUCUUGUUGAAACACCAGAAAAUAGCGUUCUAUUUGGUGGUAAUGAAUUCUUGGUUGGGGAGUUACUUAGUUUAAAACAUUUAAAUGUAUUAAGCAUCGCCUUAAAAGGUUUUUCUACCGUCCAAAAAUUUAUGAGCUCCCAAAAGUUUCAAAGUUGUACAAAAUGUUUGGAGCUUAUAGACAGUGAUGAUUCAAAGUCGUUUGCCAUGGCAGAGUUGAAGCAUCUUGAAAAACUAGGUAUUUCAAAUUGUGGAAAUUUGGAAGAGUUUAAGUUCUGCUGUGUCGAAGUUGGAAAAACUUGAGAAGAUUUUUGUUUGAACAGCCUUCACCAAGUUAAGAGAAAGGCUUGUCAUAAAUUGAGGGAAGUGACAUGGCUUGUGUUUGUACCAAAUCUUAAGGUUAUUCAGAUAGAAAAAUGUAUGGAGAUGGAGGUUGUUGGGAAAGAGACUACCACAAGCAGCUAAAAAUUAAGCGAAUACAAAAUUCUUUCUCUCUUUGUGUGAUUAAAAUAGGAUGUGCACCACAAACAAAUAAGCAGAAAAAUAAACCAAUAAAUGCAAAGCAAAAACCAACCACAAGAGACACCGAUUUUUAAGUAGAAAAUUUAAAUUGGGAAAAAUCACAGGAUAGUAGUCUGAUAUAAACUUCUACUAUAUUAAUGAGAUUACAACACAAAUUCUUCUCCAGAUAAUACUAGAUGCUAACAAUAUUAAAAUUCUCAACAAUCUUAGUUUAUAAUAAUAGAUCUAAAAUCUAUUUCUUCAAUAAGUGAGUAUCUCAAAUAAUAGCUACUGAGAGAAUAAAAUACAGAUCAACACCAGUAGAAAUAUAGAGGGCAAUGUCAGGAACUUACCCUCCAAAUUUAGGACUAAUCAGAGCUAAAAUAACCUUUUGAUUGUUGAAUCAAAGAUUGAAAACCAAAAAAAAAAAAAAUAUCUCUUUCUCUCGCAGUGUCUUCUCACUUUCGCAAAAUGUCUACAGCUCUCGCGAUUCUUUACUUAUUUCCUUAGUUAAUUUCAUCCAAGUCCAAAAUUUUACAAUAAUUACACAUCAAGCAAAUUAUUUUGGACUUUGAACUUUUUGGUCCACUGAAGUGAAAUGGACCUUACAAAUCUCCCCCUCCAUCUCAUCUAAGGGGCACCACCAAGCCCGCUCUCUACUUACAGCUUUCCAGCUUCUCCUUGGGUAAUGACUUUAUCAUCAUAUCUGAUGCAUUCUUCGUUGUGUGAAUUUCUCCAAGCUGCAACUGUUUCUACUCAAGCACGUCUUGUAUCCAAUGAUACUUCAUAUCAAUAUGCUUCGAUUUCAAAUGAUAUGUUGAAUUCUUUGCCAAGUGGAUGACACUUUAACUGUCACAGUACACAACAUAACUAUCUUGAUUAACACCUAGUUCUUGUAGAAAAUUCUUCAUCCACAAGGUUUCUUUGUAACUUUCAGUGAUUGUAAUAUACUCUACUUCUGUAGUAGACAAAGCAACACACUACUAAAGUCUAGACUGCCAUGAAACUGCUCCUCCUACAUAGGUGAGCAAAUAUCUUGAUAGAGACUUUCUAGAAUCAACAUCUCCUGCCAUAUAUGCAUCCGUAUCUACUUGUAAUAUAGGUUUGUCACCACCAAAACAUAAACAUGCCUUGGAAGUGCCUCUGAGAUAUAUGACAAUCUACUUUACUGCUGUCCAGUGUUUUUUACCCAGAUUAGAGGAAAACCAGUUGACUACCAACUGUUGAAGCGUACCUCAAACUACCAACUGUUGAAGCAUAAAAAACUCUUUUUAUCUCUUGCUUCUCUUUCUCACUUAUGGGACAAUGCUUGAAACUAAGCUUGAAAUGACCUGCAAGUGGAAAAUAAACAUAUUUUGCUUUGUCCAUAUUAUAUCUUUUAAGAACUUUUUCAACAUAUGCUUCCUGAGAUAACCAUAAAUUCCCAGUUUUUCUGUCACGAGAAAUCUUCAUGCCAAGAAUUUGUUUCGCCGAUCCCAAGUCCUUCAUUACAAAAGACUUGCUAAGCUCUCUCUUCAAAUUGUCAAUCUUACUAGUAUCCUUGCCAACAAUCAACAUGUCAUCCACAAAAAGUAAAAGAAUAAUAAAAUCAUUAUCACUAAACUUUUUCACAAACAUACAAUGAUCACACAUUGUCUUGCAAAAGCCAUGAUUCUCCAUAAAAGAAUCAAACUUCUUAUACCACUGUCUUGGUGCAUGUUUCAGCCCAUAUAAAGUUUUUUUCAAUUUGUACACAAGUUCUUCUUUACCUUUGACACUGAACUCUUCAGGUUGUUAUAUGUAUAUUUCCUCCUUUAAGUCAUCGUGUAAGAAAGCAGUCUUUACAUUGAAUUGUUCAAUUUCCAAAUCCAAGCUAGCUACUAAUCCCAGAGGUGCUUGCUCAAUUGGUUCUGCUGGACCAUUAUUAUUAUCCUCUCCAGCUCCCCUAUGAUCAUCAUGAACAACAUGUGGAGAAACCGAAGUUGGAAUAAUAAGAAUCUCUGGAGAUGGCUGAGACUUAUCAUUUUUUUUUCAUCACCAACUAUCUAAUUUUUAAGAAACACAACAUCUCUAAUUCUGAUUACUUUUCUUGUCACUGGAUCCCAUAAUCUGUACCCAAAUUCUUCAUGUCCAUAGCUUAAGAAAAUACAUUUCUUGGCUUUAUCAUCAAGUUUUGAUCUCUCAUCUUUAGGGAUAUGAACAUACACUCUGCACUUAAACACCCUCAAGUGUUUAUAAGAAACAUCUUUCCCAAUCCAAACUCUUUUAGGUACAUCGUCAUCUAAUGGAGCUUAAGGAGAAAGAUUAAUCAAAUCAACUACAGUACGCAUAGCCUCCGCUCAGAAGGAUUUAUAAAGCUUGGCAUCAGAAAACAUACAUCUGACUAUCUUUUCAAUUGUUCUGUUCAUUAUUUCUGCAACACCACUCUGCUGAGGGGAUUUUGGUACAGUUUUCUUAAGUUUGAUUCCAUGAGAUCUGCAAUACUGCUCAAAUGGUCCUCUGUACCCACCAUCAUUUUCUGCCCUGACACAUUUCAAUUUUUUUCUUGUCCCUCUCUCAACAUAAGCACGAAAGAAUUUAAACAUAGUAAGCACGAAAGAAUUUAAACAUAUCAAGCACUUAAUCUUUAGAUUUUAAAGCAAAAGUCCAUACUUUUCUAGAACAAUCAUUAAUAAAAGUCAUAAAAUAAAGUGCACCUCCUAUUGAUCUAUUUUGCAUCAUGCAAAUAUCAAUGUGAAUCAAAUCAAGGAUUUGUGACUUUCUAGAUGGAGAAAAGCUUUUAAAAGUUACUUUAUGUGCCUUUCCAGCUAAACACUAAACACAAGUCUUGAGGGACGUACCUACAAAGCUUGGUAGAAAUCCUUUUUUGGCAAGAGUUCCUAACCCUUUCUCACCAAUGUGACCAAGCCUUUUAUGCCAUGUCUCAAUGUCAGAAUUGUUUACAGCCAUAUUCAUAUAUUCUUUCUUGAUUUUGGCUUCUAUUACGUAGAGGGUGUUCAUUUUCUUUCCUUUAGCCAACACUAGAGAGCCUUUGGUGAGCUUUCAUUUUCCUUCACCAAAUUAGUUAGUAUAACUAUCAUCAUCAAUUUUUCUUGUGGAGAUCAAAUUAAGACGAAUAUCUAGUACAUGCAAGCUUUUUUGUGGAGAUCAAAUUAAGGCGAAUAUCUAGUACAUGUCUGACAUCUUUAAGGAGUAGCUUAUAGCCAACACUGGUUUGAAGCAAAUAUCUCCUAUGCCCACAAUCUUGGAUGCCCCCUCAUUUCCCAUCCGAACAUGGUCAUAAUUACCAUUAACAUAGGAUGUGAAGUAAUCAUGAUGUGCAGUUGUUGUGCAAAUUUUAAUGUACUCGCAAGCGCACGAAUCUAUUGUAGUAUAGAUCAAUGGUGACGAGUGUCGAUCCCACGAGGAGGUGGAUUUUAAUUGUGUAUAGAAUUAAUUUUGCAAAUGGUUGAUUGGAUUUGUGGUGGAAAUGAUUUGGAAUAUGCUAAAACUUAAAUUAAAAUGGCGAGAAUAAAUUCUAAAAUUGGAAUUGAAAUUGCGAGAAUAAAGUUGAAGAGAAUUCUAUUGAAAUGACGUACUUGGGUAUCUGGAUCCGUAUCAACAUGCAUCAUGGGCUAAAUAAUGCGUAUUAAUGCCAAUUAAAUCAUGAGGGGGGAAUCCACACCUCAUGAACCACGCUCUAAUCAAUAUGGUGCUAAGGGCUUAUCGUGCCAAAUAAUAAUAACCUUGUACUAGAGAGCCGGUGUAACCAAGGCGGUACUAGACAAGAUUAGUAUUAUUUGUCGACGAGAAGUCAAAACAUCCACAAAAACUAGAGGGGAAGAGAAAAUAAAUUUACCAAAUAAAGCCCAUGACACAUGUUGAGACUUCACCUUCAACCCAAGCUUAAAAGAAAAUUAGCUACUCAUAAUUGAACUAAGGGCAAAAUGGGAAUUUAUUAAAAUACGAAGAAAAUACAAGAUAGAGAGGGAAUUACAGAAAAUGGAUCCCAAAAAUGGAUUCAGAGAUAUCAAAUUAGGGGGGGAGGCCCCCUUUUUAUAGAUACAUGGAGUAAAUCAUGGCAAUCGGAUUAAAAACAGUUUGGACGCUCAGGAUUGCGCCACGUCAUCAGUCAACAGUCCACGGUUUGACCACGCGGAUGAACAGUAAUACGGUUUGACCCAUAUGAACAGUACGCGGUUUGACCCGGAUGAACAGUAACGCGGUUUGGUUGAAAAUAAUCCUGUGUGAUGCAUGCACCGUACGCGAGAUUUUUUGUCCACUGAUAUGCUGCCACGUCACCAUCAACAGUACAUAAGAAUUUUAGUCCAACAGGAUCGUGACACCUCAUCAGUCAAUGCCACAUCAUCGAUCCGUCUAUGUGAGCAGUGCCGUGAACAGUAACAUAUACAGUACCGUAUACGUGAAUAGUACCGUACAUGUGAAUAGUGCUAUUUUUCCUUUUAUGCUCCUCCUAAGGUUUUCGACCGUCCUGAGUUCAAAAGUGAUGUCCGUUUUACCGUCUGAUCUCUCCUUUAUUGUGAAAUCACUAUAAUACCACUAAAAUACAUAAAAUACUUAAUUAAAAUAAAACACAUGUAAUUAAAUCACAAGAAGGUUAAAUACAUAAAAGUAAGGGUUGUUAGUAAGACUUGAAAUGUAAAAUGAUGGUUUUCUCCUUUAUAAAUAUGCAUUUUCUAACACUCAACAGCAGUAACCACGAUGUGCAGUAACAUCAAACGAAGCACCCGAAUCAAUCACCCAAUUACUGGUAUGGCAAGUAAGAUUUAUAGAGCUAUCAUUAUAAGCAAUGCCCAUAUCACCAUUAAUUACGGCUGUAACAUUCUCUUUGUCAUUUUUCUGACCAUCGCCUUUUUCUUUCGCAUGUUCUCUUUUCCACAAUUUACACUACCUUUUUACAUGGCCCAUUUUCUGACAAUGAAAGCACUUAGCUUCUCCUAUGGGACUUAGAUCUUCCUCCAGGGUUAUCAUUAUUCUGAUGACGGAAAUUUCUGCUUCGACUUCUCCCCCGUCUUUUUUGGUUUUCUGAAACAAGUGUAGCUGACUCAGAGGGAACUACUUCAGCAUUCUUUCUUCGAGAUUCUUCAUUCCGCAGUCUAUCUGUAACCAUAUCCAAGUUUAAUUUACCAUUCGGUGCCGAAUUAUUCACUGACACCACUAAUGUCUCCCAACUAUCAGGUAAAGAACUAAGCAACAACAAUGCUUGUAACUCGUCAUCUAGAAUAAUCUUCAUAGUAGUCAACUGAUCAACCAAACCCUGAAACUCACUAGUGUGUUCAGUAAUACUGUGGCCUUUUUUAUAUUUCAAGUUAACAAGCCUUUUCAUUAGAUUGACUUUAUUUUGUGCUGUUGGCUGCUCAUAAAUUAUUUCUAAUUUUCUCCAAAGAACAUCAGCCUUGGAUUCCUUCGCGACAUGAUGGUACACACUCUGAUCAAUCCAUGACCUAAUAGUGCCCACGGCUUUCUGGUUCAAUUGAGCCCAUUUCUUAUCAUCUAUAUCAACAAGUUUAACUUCAUCACCUUCAAUAGGUUCAUGUAAGUCUUUCAUGUAGAGCAAAUCUUUCAUUCUAGACUUCCAAAUAUCAUAAUUCCACGACUCAAUUUAAUCAUGAACGCCAAAGACUCCUCUAUUUCAACCACAUAAGUAAUAAAAACACACAACCUGGCUCUGAUACCACUCUAUUGGGAAAACGACUACCACAAACAGCUACAAAUUAAGCGAAAAUAAAAUUCUUUUCCUCUUUGUGUGAUUAAAAUAGGAUGUGCACCAUAAACAAAUAAGCAGAAAAAUUAAUCAAUAAAUUCAAAGCAAAAAUCAACCACAAGAGACACCGAUUUUAACGUGGAAAAUUCAAAUCGGGAAAAACCAUGGGACAAUAGUCCGAUAUAAAUUUCCACUAUAUUAAUGGGAUUACAGUACAAAUUCUUCUCCAGAUAACACUAGAGGUUAACAACAUCAAGAUUUUCAACAAUCUUGGCUUACAAUAAUAGAUCUAAAAUCUAUUUCUUCAAUAAGUGAGUAUCUCCAAUAACAGCUAAUGAGAGAAUAAAAUAUAGAUCAACACGAGUAGAAAUGUAAAGGGCGAUGUCAGGAACUUAUCCUCCAAAUUUGGGAGAAAUCAAAGCUAAAAUUAUUUUUCGAUCGUUGAAUCAAAGAUUGAAAACCCAAAGAAAAAAAAUAUCUUUUUCUCUCGCAACGUCUUCUCACUUGCGCGAAAUGGCUACAUCUCUCGCGAUUAUUCACUUAUUUCCUUUAUAUUUUUUUUGGUUAAUUUCAUCCAAGUCUAAAAUUUUACAAUAAUUACACAUCAAGCAAAUUAUUUUGGACUUUGGGCUUUUGGUCCACUGAAGUGAGAUGGACCCUACAGAAGCAAUAAUCAGUGCAAGAAAAUUAAGUGAAGUUCCAGAGAUGAUGGCAGAUCUAAACCCUUUUGUAAAACUCCAAUAUCUUGGCCUCCGAAUUCUACCAAAAUUAAAAAAGCGUCUAUUGGAAUGUGUUGCCCUCUCCACAUGUCAGGGAAAUUUUUGUAUCUGAAUGCCCAAUUCUCAUUAGAGGAGAGGAACACUGGUGGAAUAAGUUGCAAUGGGAGGAUGAAGCAACCUAUAAUGCUUUUCUUCCUUGUUUUGGAUCCAUUUGAUGGGCAUCAACAUGGAUUAAUAUUUUGCAGCGAACCAAUUUGAAUAAAACUUACGGUAAGUGCUUUUCCAUUUAUUGCAUAUUUAUAUCUAAUUUUUGUUUUCCUUUAUGGUUAAAUUUUGCCCUGUAUAUGUUGUUGUACGGUGACAUUCUUGAAUCAAUUAUUAAUUUUUUUAAUUCUCGUCUCACAACCACCCUUUUGAUCAUGAGGAUAUGCCGAUAUCAAAGAGUCAUAAUUUGGGAUACAAAUGUAAGAAUUAGGCAGAUGACAUGUUGUUUCAAAGCUUUCGAAGAAGGACUAAAUAUGUCAUUGAAAGCCUCCAAUUUUGCGACUGAUUUUUUUUUAAUUUGUUAUUUUUAUAGGUGGCAAAAAUACCCGUCUGAUUUGGACUCGGCUGAUUUGGGCCGGGUACGGAGUAUGAAGCCGGGUUGGUCCUGGGCAUCACUUGAAACUCGGAACCUGGAUUUUAUUAAAAAAUAUUAUAAAUAUAUAUUAUUUUAAAUAUCUAUAUUUAUUAGACUCAUCUAUUACAUAUAUCUAAUUUCAUUGAAAUAAAUUUAAAAAUUAUAAAAUUACCAAUAUAUAUAUAUAUAUAUAAUAUUAAAAAAGUAUAAAAUCUGAGUCCUCAGAUUAAAACCCAGUUCAAGUGUCUAAAAAAUACAUGUGGACCGAGUUUGAACAUUGCGAUACCCAGACCCAAACUUGGGUUUUGCCAACCCUAGUCUUUUAAAUUGCUUGAUUGUAAUGUUUUAGUAUAGAAAAAUGAUAGCCAAGACAACAAUAAGAGGGCACAUUGUGCAUGCACAAUAGUGGAUAAUUUCGGCAUUCCAAAUCCAAUUAGGGUGGAUAACCUUUUAUUAGUAUUAACCUUCUCUCGUAUUCAAGUAAUGUAAAAUAUGCUUAGAAGCUGUGGAUCCCCCUUUAUAAGUGUUGGGCUUAUGCCAAACUCGAUUGAUGUGGGAUGCCUUUAUAGGCAUCAAGUUUUCUCCCAUACACUUUAUGUUAAAAAUAAUAAUGAUAAAAUAAAUCCAUUUUAAAAUAGACUUCUUUUUCUUUUCUAUAUAAACAAACUCAUUCUUCAAAUCAGUUGUGGGUGGAAGGAGUGAGUAGAGAAGAACUGGGCCCCUUUCGUUCCUCUAAAAACCUCACCAAACCUCUCUUGUAAGCUUCUCAGUGUCCCUCUCAAUAUUUCUUAUGAUCUCGUUUUUUAUUGAAUCACUUCUUUUGUGUGCUGCAUUUUUGUGUGUCGUAUUUGGGUUUAUCUUAUCUGGAAUCCUGUUAUGAUUGAUGGAACAAGUAAUCGAUUUUUGGUUUAUUUGGAAUGGAAUUAUGGUUUAUUUGGAAUGGAAUUAUCUGGGUGUAACGGAUUAAAUUAUGACAUUGGGGAGAAGGCACUAAGGGGUUUGCUUGACACAUUUGGUUCUGUGUUUACUCUGAAAGAAAUAGCUUUUGCUUAUCGUAAUGCAAGGCGAAAUCCCGAUUUGGGUGGUGAAUUUCUCUAUCCCAAUUGGGCUGGUGAAUUUCUCUGUGACAAAUAGGCAAACAGCUCAACCUCUUUUAUCUAUCUUCUACUAGUGAGGCAAGGGAUAAAAAGUCUUCAAAAUCAUCAAAUAGUAACAUCUUCGAGAAUUCAUUUUAUGCAAAUGGAAAAUCUAGACCUUCUAAGACAAAAUGGCGUCCAGUAUCAAGAGGUACCGUUUCAAGUUUUCUUGGUAAAAAUUAUGUAAACUUGCACAGCCAGCUAAUGGCACUUUUCUAGUUUUCUGGCAUCAAAGCCAUUGAAGUCGUAUCCAAAGGAGUUUCCCAUGUCUGCACUUUGUGGAGAAGGAACUAAACAAAAACAAUCAAAGGAUGACCAUUUGCAGAAGGAUGUGGAAGAUUUUCUGUUUAAAUUGCUAGGAGAAGUGUUCCAGCUGAAUAGGGAUGUGAUUCGGGAAGUUCCAGUAAUGUCUUAAAUAUGUUGAUGCCAAUUUAAUAUAUAUUGUCAUUUUCAAUGUUCUUUCUUUCUUUCUUUAUCUUCUUUUCUUCUACUUCUUCUUCUUUUUCUUUUCGUGUGCAUGUGAUCACUAAUUUGUUAUUAUACUUAACUUGCAGGUAGUUGUGGAUAUGAUAUGCAAAAGGUAAGGACUAUAUCUUCCUGAUAGAGGCCUCUGCUUUUUCCCUUUUAUGUAAUUUAGUAAAUCUCAUCUCCCUUUGUGAUUGUUAUAUCAUAUCAAAGUCAAGUCUUAAAUACUGCUGUCAUAUGUUAAGGUUCAACUUGCAUUUUGACUAACAUCCAUUUGUUGUCGCUUCCAAAAGUGAGAAUGAGAUACUUCGGUUAAUUUCAGUAGUUGAACCCAAUCGAGUACUUUAUCUAGAUCUUCAUGGUUCAAAGGCCUGAAACUUGCCCGUGAUUGUAAAAUGAUAUUAUGUGCUUUUAAUGCAAUAGGGGGAACAAGGUGUCAAAGGAAUUAGCAGAUUCUAUGGCAGAUUCUAUGCCUGUACAACUGUAACAAUUAUCCUUAUGAUUGUAAAUCUUAUAUGUUUUCCUUAUUUAGGAUAUACUAGCUGUAGGCUAUUUUAGAUAGUUAUGUAUAUGAUAGUUUAGCUAUGUUUAGGGCUAAACAUAAGCUUGUAUUCAUAGUAUAUAAAGGGAAUUCUCUUCUAAGAGAAAGCAUAACUUUUGCUCAAAAUUCUCUGAGUUUAUCAUGGUAUCAGAGCCUCAGUUCUGAAUUCUCUUCUUCCUAGUUCAUUCCCUUGUUCUUAGUUAUUCUUUUUUUUAUCAAGUUAUCUCAGCCUCAUGUCUUCAGACAAGUAUGAUGCUUUUUUGAUCCGUUUUAAUGGCACAAACUACUCAGCCUGGGCAUUUCAUUUCGAGAUAUUUGUCAAAGGCAAAGAUCUAUGGGGACAAGUUGAUGGCAGGAAACCUGCCCCUGAUAAAGAGAUAGACCAGGAUGGGUACGCCAAGUGGGAAGUCAAGGAUGCUCAAAUCAUGGCAUGGAUUCUAGGAUCUGUGGAAUCCAACUUCAUCUUGAAUCUUCGACCCUUCAAGACUGCAGCAGGAAUGUGGAAUCAUCUAAAGAAACUCUACAGUCACACCAACACUGCUCGUUGAUUUCAGCUUGAACAUGAGCUAGCCAAUCUCCAACAAGGCAGUCUCUCUAUUUCUGAUUUUUAUUCUAUCUUUAUGAUUAUUUGGGCUGAAUAUACUGAUAUAAUCUAUGCUACCUUACCUCCGAAGGUCUUAGUUUUGUUCAAUCUGUACAUGAAACUACUAAGAGAGAUCAAUUUAUGAUAAAACUGAUAUAUGAAUUUGAAAGCACUAGGUCCAAUCUUAUGAAUUGAGAAUCUGUCCCUUCCUUGGAUACAUGCCUCAAUGACUUAUUUCAUGAGGAGCAACGACUUCUUACUCAAAAUACCAUGAAACAAAAAAAAUCUACUUCUGUUCCUAUGGCUUAUGCAGCUCAAGGCAAGCCAAAAGGUAAGGACAUCAGUAUAGUUCAAUGUUUUUGUUGCAAAGGAUUUGGACAUUACGCUUCAAAUUGUUCAAAAAAAUUAUGCAACUAUUGCAAAAAAGAUGGACAUAUCAUUAAGGAAUGCCUUACUCGACCCCCCAAGAAAUCUGAAACAACAUAUGCUACCUCAGUUGGUUCUUCUAGUGAUGGUAGUUCUGUGGAUACAGCACAUUUGACCCAAAGUGCUCCUGUUCCUGUUCAAUCUGUGACCCCAUAAAUGAUUCAACAAAUGAUCAUUAUUGUAUUCUCCUCAUUAGGACUCUCAGGUAAAUCACCCACUAGAUCUCCUUGGUACUUUGAUUCUGGGGCUUCCCAUCACAUGACAAACAAUGCUAAAUUCUUCACCAAUGUAAGUAAAUACCUUAGAAAUCUAAAAAUUCAUACAGCUGAUGGCAACUCUUUACCUAUCACAGCCACUAGUGAUGUUUCUUUUUCUAUAACCAAUGUCUUUGUCUCUCCUGGUCUUCCUACUAAUCUUGUUUCAAUCGGUCAGUUAGUUGACAAUAAUUGUAAAGUAGAAUUCUCUAAAUCUAGUUGUGUUGUGCAGGAUCAGCAGUCAGGGAAGAUGAUUGCCAGGGGGCCUAAAAUAUGACGUCUUUUCCCUCUCCAAUUUGCUAAGUCUCCAUGUUUCUCUUUGCCUAUCAUCACUUGCAAUUUUACUAAGGUUAAUUAUCGAGCAUGGCAUAAACGUCUAGGACACCUAAACUCUAAUGUAUUUUAUGCUUUGCUAAAUUCUGGUUUACUUGGGAAUAAAAGAUCACCAUCCCUUAGUGUUGUUCAAUUUGAUUGCAAUUCUUGCAAGCUUGGAAAAAGUAAAAUUCUGCCAUUUCCCACUCACACACCGAAUGUUGUCCAGCCUUUUGAUUUGAUACAUAGUGAUGUGUGGGGUAUGGCGCCUGUUACAUCUCAUGCUAAUUACAAGUACUUUGUCACUUUUAUUGAUGACUAUAGUCGCUUCACAUGGAUUUAUUUUCUACAUUCUAAAGAUGAAGUGUUCUCUGUUUUCAAGCUUUUUCAUGCAUAUAUUCAGACCCAAUUUUCUACUAAUAUCAAAAUUCUUUGCUUUGAUAAUGGGGGUGAGUAUAUGUCUCAUUUAUUUUAAGAAUUUUUGCACACCAAUGGUAUAAUUUCUCAAAGAUCUUGUCCUUCAACCCCUCAACAAAAUGGGGUGGCUGAAAGAAAGAACUAUCACCUUCUCGAUGUUGUCUUCAUUUGUACCCUCUCGUUUUUGGUGUGAAGCUUUCUCCACUGUUGUCUAUCUCAUCAACAGAUUGUCCUCUCAUUCCUUGAACCAUGUCUCCCAUUUCUUUCAGUUAUUUGGCCAUACACUAAGUUACUCUCAUCUCCAUACCUUCAGUUGUGUGUGCUAUGUUCAUCUUCCUCCAUAUGAGCGUACAAAACUCACAGCCCAAGCUGUGAAAUGUGCUUUUCUAGGAUAUUUUAUGCACUAAAAAUGUUUUCUUUGUUAUGAUCCAAAUUUGCAUCAUAUAAGGGUUUCUCGAAAUGUGAUUUUCUUUGAAAAUCAGUAUUUCUUUUCCGCAUACCACGACGAUUCUUCGCCUUCAUUUUCUGUUUUGCCAAAGUUUACUAACCCUUCUGCAGAUUCUGCACCUUCUAAACCUAUCAUAGUCUAUCAGCGACGCAAGAAUUUAGUACCUCUCGGGCCCCCUCCAGCAACUUCCCUGAAUGUUGAUCCAGUUCCAGCAACUGCACCUGAACCUUUCAGACAUAGUACUCGGGUUCGUAGACCACCAGAUAGGUAUGGUUUCACCUCUCCAUUAUUUUUGACAGCCACUUUGUCUUCUAUUCUUAUUCCUUCAUCAUAUAAACAGGCAAUAGAGCAUGAAUUUUGGUGAAAAUCUAUUGAAUCAGAACUUCUUGCACUUGAAGAAAACCAAACUUGGGAUAUUGUUUCAUGUCCUCCAUCCGUGAAACCCCUUAGUAGUAAGCUAGUGUUUUCUAUCAAGCUGCGUUUUAAUGAAUCCAUAGAUCGUUACAAGGCUCGGUUGGUGGUUCUUGGCAACAAGCAAGAAUAUGGCCUAGACUACGAUGAGACCUUCGCGCCGGUAGCCAAAAUGACCACUGUUCGAACAAUAUUAGCCCUUGCUGCAUCACAAUCAUGUUCUUUACAUUAAAUGGAUGUAAAGAACGCUUUCCUACAUAGUGAUCUCAAGGAGGAAAUUUACAUGAAACUUCCCCACGGUAUGACUACUUCCUCUCCUAAUGAUGUUUGCAAACUAAAAUGUUCGUUGUAUGGGUUGAAGCAAGCACCGCGAGUAUGGUUUGAGAAGUUUCGAUCAACUCUUUUCAGUUUUUCAUUCACUCAAAGUCAGUAUGACUCCUCCUUUUUUUUUUCCAACAGACAUCUAAGGGCAUCAUUGUUCUCCUUAUUUAUGUGGAUGACAUCGUUAUCACUGGUUCUGAUAUGGAGGCAAUUUCUAAACUUCAGAAUUUGUUGCACUCUAUUUUUCACAUGAAAGACCUCGGUCAACUCACCUAUUUUUUGGGGUUAGAGGUGCAUUAUCUGCCUCAAGGUAUCUUCUUGAAUCAACACAAGUAUAUUCAGGAUUUAAUUUAAUUAGCUGGACUUAUGGACAAAAAUUCUGUUGACACCCCAGUGGAACUUAAUGUGAAAUAUCGACAAGACGAAAGGGAACUACUUCAAGAUCCUACUUAUCUAUCUAACUAUCACCCGCCCAGACAUCUCUUAUGCUGUCCACACCGUUAGCAAGUUCAUGCAAGCCCUUCGACAUCUCCACGUAUCCACAGUCCGCCGCAUCAUUAGAUAUAUUCUUGGCACUCUUAACUGCAGUUUAUUCUUCCCUACUGGUUCUUCACUCCAACUACAAGCCUACAAUGACGCAGAUUGGGCUAGCUGCCCGGACACGAGAAAAUCUACUUUGGGAUGGUGCAUGUUUCUUGGUGAUGCCCUUAGCUCUUGGAAAUGCAAAAAGCAAGACUCAGUCUCCAAAUAAUCCACUGAGGCAGAAUACCGCGCCAUGUCUGUAGCCUGCUCCAAGAUCAUUUGGUCGCGUGGUCUCUUAACAGAGCUUGGUUUCUCACAACAUCAACCUACUCCCCUACAUGCUGACAACACAAGUGCCAUCCAAAUUGUAGCCAACCCUGUCUACCAUGAGCGCAUGAAACACAUAGAGGUUGACUGCCACUCUAUUCGAGAGGCCUAUGACCACCAAGUUAUCACCCUCCUGCAUAUCUCCACUACUCUACUGAUUACGAAUAUCUUCACCAAAUCCAUGACAUGUCAGCGACAUAACGUUCUUGUUAGCAAAUUGAUGCUUGUAGAUUUACCAGCAUCAAUUUGAGGGGGGAUGUCAAAGGAAUUAGUAGAUCUUAUGGCAAAUUCUAUGCCUGUACAGCUGUAACAAUUAUCUUUAUGGUUGUAAAUCUUAUAUUUUUUCCUUAUUUAAGAUAUACUAGCUGUAGGCUAUUUUAGAUAGUUAUGUAUAUGGUAGUUUAGCCAUGUUUAUGGCUAAACAUAAGCUCGUAUUCAUAGUAUAUAAAGGGAAUUCUCCUCCAAGAGAAAGCAUAUGAAAGAAACUUAGUUCUAUAUUGUUUGGUAGGCUAGAAAAUGAAAGAAAAUAAAAGAAAAGCUUUGCAAAGAAAACUGUUAGAUCCUUUUAUUAUACCAAACUUACAGUUUAAUGACUAAAAAUUGAUAUUUAUAUUGAGCUACAAACUCUUCACACACACACACGAGAUUGUUGCAACACAUAACCAAUUGCUGUAUAACUAACUUGACACAUCAGCUCAACCAGCUAACUAACUUUGACAGGUCAGCUUAAUGAUUUGAUCUGAUACAACCAGCUACACAGCAACAUCAUGCUCUGCUCCAGCUUCAUCUAAUUCACUAACAACUUUUGCUCAAAAUUCUCUUAGUUUAUCACAGGGAAGUAUAGCUUUGGAAAAGGCCGGAUCAAUAACUAUGGAGAGAUUUAUAAGUGAUAAAAAUUCCCGUAACCCGCUGUCAAGAAAAUUUCACAUAGUUAAAGACGCCAUUUUGUUUCAGCCAAAAAUGUUUGUUUAAUCUGCCAAAAAUGUUUGUUUCGAUUAAAGACUUGAACCGUUUUCAUUUAACCUGAUUGUGAUGCUUUAUGUUAUGUAUGUUCCUCUCAAUCAAGAAAAGUUGAGGUUCAUGAUUUUAUAUUUCUAUCUUGUAACUUGCAAUAAUAACUGGUCUUCUUGUUUUUGUAGCUUGAUAACAUGAAUUUUCCUUCUCAAGUUAAUUUGAUCAAUAAAGUAAUUCUUCAAAGAAAAUAUGCCCAUUCUAUAAUCAUUUUCUUAGCUAAUAUGUUUUUUUUUUGUUUACUCUUCAGAGUGUGUCGAAACUAAUUGAUUGCUCGGCAGAGACUUUGGGUGACAAGUCAAAAUUUCAUGGUAAAUCCUCUGAAAAGGUAUGCAUAAUUCCUGAAUAUUAAAUAACCAAUGGUCAUAGUUUUUGUACACGACUCUUUUUGUGGAGAUCGUUAAAAGUGGUUGAUGAUCCAUUUGUAAUUUCAUAGAGGGAUCAUCAAUUCCUUUUCUUUUCUGUGGCUAGGCAUCACUUUCGUGCCAAAGUAAGGAAAUCUAUUUUAGGUAAUGUAAAAAACAAUGGUAGGAUGUAAUAGCUUAUUAUGCACUGACAAUAACUUUUUGUAUAAUUGUCAGUUUAAGGAAUACAAGAGGAACUCUGUUGACAAAUUCAUCCAAGAUAGAUGCUAAAAUUAUUUAUGCAUGCCAGUUGCCUUAACUAAUUUUUCUUAACACUUGUAUUGAACAGGAAAUGAGUAUGCAAUUUGUGUACGUGCCAUUGUGGAGAAUUUGGAUAUUCUUAUUUAAGUAAGAAGAAGAGUAUUUGCCUCAUCUUUAAACAAUGAAUCUUUGAGAAAUGAGGAGUGGGUGAUUGGAAGUGUCUUCAUGUAAAUGUUCAUUUACUUGUAUUUUGAACUAUUAUGAGAAUCUUUUAUAUGCCAAAUUAGUAAUACAAAUGUUCAGAUGAUUUUUCCUGUUGAUCACGCGUUUGUGUCUGCAGACAACCAUUGUAUAUCACUUUAUUCUGAUGUGCAAUUAUGUAUAGAUUAGAAGAAAAGAAAUAAUAGUCUUAUAUUAUUGUUUGGUUCAUGAUUAUUAAACGAUUAUGGCUUCAAAAAAUCUACAAAUUCCUUCUGUUCAUAUAUGAAUGUGCCAAGUUUGCUAUAUCUUAGAUUGCCUUCUUCCAAGAUAACAAGUUCAUAUGUUUUUUAAUCCUCUUCAAUCACAGUUGAAUUUUAAGUGUUAAGAUUUGUUAUUAAUACCUGGUUCCCUGUUAUUAUGAUUUUUAUUAUGAUUUCAUAAACAGUGUACGGACAUGUGCUCUACUUUUAAAGGGCCUCCACGUGAAAGAAAAUUGCAACAAUUGAAUUCUUCCGGAGGGUAUGGCAUUUAAUUUAUUUUCUCAACUUCUUGUAAGACUAAUAUAUUUCCUUCAGUAGGCAGGGCAUGUUGGGAAGGGCUUUUAUUGAAAGAAUUCUGAUAUUUCUUAGACUUUGUUUUGGAAGGGAGGUGGAGGGAUUUCUCAUCCAUAUAUGGUUACUUGAUUAGCUUUUGACUGUAUUGCCUCAGUCGUGCAAAGGAAGAUCCAAAUACUAAUGAAUGAGAAUUGGUUAGAGACCCAAAAGACAGAAAUGAACUACAGAAGGAAGUUUUUGCUGCUUUAUUUAGUGUUCCUGAGAACUCUGAUGAAGAUGGAGUGGAGGUCCAAAGCAUUAAGAAAGGUGGUGAGUGAACCGCCAGAGGAAUUGGUACCAGAAUACAAAGCUAAUGUGGUGCAUUUGCAGCAAGAUAACCAGACUAGUAUGUGCUCUUGUAUUAACUAUAUUGACUGGAUUUGUGAGCAUGUUCAUUUUUGUGUGUAUAAUCACUUUUGUAUUUAUGCAUAUUAAUGUUAGUAGGAUUCUUGAUUUCCUCCACUUACUGGAGAACUAGUGGAAAGCUUUAUAGUGAAAUAUCUGCAAUAACUAAUGGAAACCAUGAUUUGAAUAUUUUCUCUCACCUGGAGAGCUUUGUAACAGAUGUACUUUGUGGCUAUGGAAUACUAGAGAUUCUGCAAUAACUAAUGGAAACUCUGAUAUGAAUAUUUUCUCUCACCUGCAGAACUUUGUAACAGAUACACUUUGUGGCUCUGGAAUGUCUAAAGAUUUUGUCUGCUUCAGUUAGAUCAAAUAUCUUUUAGUUACCUACAUUAUGGAAAAGAUAGAGUUCUCUGAAUCUGAAAGACUGAAACAUUUUGCAUAUUUCGUGAAAGGAAAAUAUCUGUAGAUACUAGUUCAUGCAUUGAGGUAACAUCAAUGUUAAAGAAAAACAGCAAUAACUUAUUAUAUAGAAUUAGGUUCACUUGCUUUAAAUGCUGGUCUGGUCAACCAUAUGAACCUGUAAGUGUAUCUGCAGAAAUAUAUAUGGGGGGACAAACUAGCUAAAUUUUCCUCUCAUUUCUGGCUUUGGUCAUUUUUUCCCCUUAUUUUUCAGCUUUCCUUCUCCUGAAGUAUGUUAACAAUUGCAGAUAAUGACGAAGAGGACAGCUUGCAGGCUCUUCGUGGAGCUGUGAUGGAAUAUAGGGGCACAAUGAAAGAACAUUUUAAAGCUGUAGGUUCUUUUUCUCCUGUCAUUUAUAUUUGCUCACACAUUUUUCAUAUGCUCCAAGCAUGCAAGUUUGUAUGUGUCUUUGCCUUUUAAGUUUUAAAAACCAUAAGGUAAGAAUACAGUUCCUCGUCAGGUUAUUGAUGCAUUCACUCCGGAGGAUCAUGUUCGAGCAGGAAAACUUCUAGAACAGGCAAGGUUUUCCAUCUACAGCCAUCUAUUGACAACAGAUACAUUUUCAUUCAGCAGACACUGUUAGCAUUCAAGAUGCUGGCAGAUUCACUUGAUUCUUAUUAGUUUGUUUAGUGGUAAAGCAUAUAACCUGUUUUUCAAAGCCAAGUUGUGCUAUUGAUUAUGUUAACUUUAUUGUUCACAUAAAGUGAUAUGGAGGAAAUAAUCAUUGUAGGAAAAUUAGGUGAAGAGGUGAUGUCAAAUCUUGAACCUGUUACAAAACUCCAAGUUCUUUACUUGAAGAAGCUACCAAAUUUGAACAGGGUCCACUGGAAGGCCUUGCCAUUCCCUGAUGCCUGCAGAAUUUUUGUAUUUAAAUGCCCAGAGCUUAAGAAGCUGCCACCGGAUCUUGAAAGGGCAGGCCAAGGUAAAAUUCUUAUCAAGGGAAAGGAAGAUUGGUGGAAACAACUUCAAUCGGAGGAUCAAGUAACUCAGAAUGCAUUGCUUCUAUUUUUAAAAUCAACUGACAAGUGAUUGAAGGGGGCAUCAUCAACAUCAUCAACAUGGAUGGAGAGAUUCAGGAGCAGAUCCGCAGGGUUUAUUACGACCUGUGGUGGUUGCUUUUUUGUGACUUGUUCCCUUUCAUUUUUUCACUUCCUGUCAUAUUAUCAUUUCUUUGUCUCUGUUUCUAUUGCUGAUGUUGCUGCAUGCUUGCAGCCCUUGACAAAGUUAGCAAUGCAAUAUAGAUUUUGAAAUUAAAUUUUGUAUGUUCGGGACAGUCACAAAGUACUACUUGUUCUAUAUGGGGGUGAUGUGAAUCAACUUUUCAAUUAUAUAUUCUGUGGUAAUUGUGAAUUCAAUUUCAUUUGUCUCCUGCAAAUUAUGAAGAAAGUGCAGAGUUAGAAUAUCGAAAAGUUCACUGGCAAAUACUUUGUAAAAGCUUCGGAGUGAAACAGGGAAUGCACUUGCAACUAAGGACAAAUUGGUGGCCAGCUAAUGCAUUCAUUUUAUGUACAUUCAUCUUUUUAAUUAUUGAAGAUAAGUGGUUCGUUGCUUUUGUUGUAGAAAAAAUUCAGACGACCUCAAUUGUGAGAUGAAAAUAUUUAAAAUAUCUCUUAAAUUAUUAUAAACUUUAAUUUAUCUUAAUUUUAUUUAAAAGAUAAAAGAAAAAUGUGGUAUAUGGGUAAAAAUUUUUUUAUCUUGUUAAUAAAAUGAAAUAAAUUAAAAUUUACAAUAAUUUAAAGUAUUUUAAAAUUAUUAUUUCAUAAGAGAUUAAUAUGAAAUUAAUCCUUUUUACUUUUUGAAUGUGAAAGGACAAGAAAAGAGAAAGCUAGUGUCACUGCUUUUUAUUUUAUUUGAAAUCGGAGUUAUCCCAUAUACUUUACUACUUUAGCUCUAACAUUACAAUGUUUUUAGGCUACACUUUUAUUUUUCUUUUUCCCCCUUUUUUUAUACAUGCAUGUGGAUUACUUUUCUCUAAGCUCCUUAAUAUUUAAGACAAAUCAUAAAAGCAAUUGAAGCAUAACAAGAUGAUCAAAACAUUUAACCGAAAAAAAAAGAAAUAAAACAUUGAAAAUGGAGAUGUUGAUUAAUUUAGAAGAGAUGCAAGCAAAAAAUAUUCCCAAAAAAAAAAAAAAAAAAAGCAACGUUAGUUCAUCCAUGUCUGUCAAUGCGUUUUUUAUGGUUUUUUUUUUCCAGUUGUUUGUUGUAAUAGAUUAAUUGUAAAUUGAUAUAAACUUGAUGUUGUAAUAUGUUCGCUUUUGUGGAAAUAAAUUUCAAUAUUCAAGAUUAUUCAAGUCUUAUCUAGUAUGUGUUCGGUUGUGUUGUCGAUAAUUUUACAUUCUAAUAAGUUUUCACCUAAAAUAUUAGCAUGAGUAGUAGUCCUUAAACCUUUGGUCAAAAUUAUUGUUAUUGUUUCUUUUAGAGGAAAUUUUUUUAUUAAAGCCUCGUUAACACUAUUCCUUAUUAAGAUUAUAAGUUAGUGUCGGUGCAGGAUUUGCAGCGACAAAUCUUGUCUAGCCACGUGUCAAAAUACAAAUAAAUCAAGGGAAAGCACAUGACAUGGAUUAGGAUCCAAUAAAAUUUAAAUCCCAAGGAAAAGGACAACUGUAUCCUAAAGUUUCAAUAAGAGAUACUGGGAUAUCUUUUGACUAAUGUUAUUUUUUGGCUUUAUUAAUAAAAAGAUCCAAUAGUUUAUAACAAAUAAAAAUAUAGUAUUAAGCUAAAUGUGAUAAUUUACACAUUUUACAUAAUUUCAAUAAAAAUUUUUUUAAUGUUUUACAAUCUAUCAGACAUAUUUUAUUAAAUUAAUAAGAAUUUUCUUAUAAAUAGCAACAUAAUAUUAAAAUAAAUUUAUAAAAAUUUAAAUGUAAAAUAAUUUUAGUAUAAUUAAUACGCGGGAUAUAUUUUGUAAAUUAUAAAAUUACUUAACCCAAUGAUUUUUAAAAAUCUUUAAAAUAAAUAAAAAUAAAUUAUUCACAUUUUGAUGUAAAUAUUUAAAACAUUUUUAUACAUUAGUCCACAAUUAUUUAUGUUAUAUUUGUAUUUAUUAGAAAUUUUGAAAGUCAAAUGUUUUUUACCUCUAUGUUAUUAGAAUUAUUGCACACAGAGAAAGAGCCAUAUAUGCUUUAUAACUUUAAAAUCGAUUUGUUUUAUAGCUGGGAAUAGAGAUGAUCAUUAUUAUAAGGAUUUUUUAAAAAAAGAUAAAGAAUAUUAAUGAUUAGCGAAAUCUCUAUGGAAAUUGAAUUUAGUAAGAAAAAAUUGAGCUGAUUUUAGUGGUAUAGUAAUAUUUUAUAUAGAGAAAAGUAAAAGCUGCACCCAAGGUUAAGGGAAAUGGUCAAAAUUCUUUUUUAAUCAUAAUACCCUUUUUCCUAGAUAAUUUAAAAAUUUUACUCUAAUAGUUUAUAAUAAAUAAAAACAUAUAAUCCUAAAAUAAAUAAAAUGAUAUAUAUUUUAAAAUAAUCUCAAUAUUUAAAAUAUAUUUUAACAUUUUAUAAUCUAUUAGAUAUAUUUUAUUAUAUUAAAGUAAAUUUUAUAAUAAAUACAAAACAUACUAUUAAAAUAGAUAUAAAAAUUUUAAAGUAUUUUGAAUAUUAUAUAAAAUAACUUUAAUAUUGUUAAUGCAUGAGAUGCAUUUUAUUAAUUAAAAAUUCUAUGUAACCCAAAGAUUUAUUUAUAAUAAAUUAAUAAUCAUAUUUUUGAAAUUAUUUUAAAUAUUAAAAAAUAUUUUAAUAUUACUAACUAUUAGAUAGACUAAACUAUUUAUUUUAUUUUCUAUUUAUUAUAAAAUUUCAAAGUUAAUCUUUUUAACUACUAUUCAAAAGAUGUUAUGAUAAAAACAGAAUUUUUGUGUUUUUAUUGAAAAUUUGGAGUUUACAUCUAUUUUUUCAAAUAUUCAGGGUGUAACUGUUUUUUCCCUUUUAUAUAUACGAACGGUGGUGAGAAAGUUUGAUUUAACGUUAUUUAUUUAAAUAAAAUCUCAGUUAAAAAUGUACAGAGAAGAAAUUUCGGUUGGUAUUUUAGUCUUGGUAAUCUCUAUAUUAUAUGCAUAUAAGAUACAUCAUUCUCACAUGAAUAGUAUAUGUGUGAGAUCCAUAUAUUAUUCAUGUGAGGGAGAUGUAUCUUAAUAAGAUAGAGGGAUCCGUUAGUCUUUUACCAAUCAUCACGAUUAGGCCUUGGCCUUGAAACAUUAAUUGUUUCACUUUUAGCGCUAGUGGCGUUGAAAGUUGUCAAGAAAAAGCAAGACCAUAUUCCACAAAAGCAAAAGUAACGUAGGCUCUUUUAUUAAAGGCAAAGUAUAAAGUAGUCAAGAAUCGAAUAUCCUGUCGUCUACUCUUUUUUAAAUUCUUCUUUUAUUAUCGUUUAGAAUAGUUUUUGGUAAUUACAAUCAUUAUUCAGAGUUAUUGUUAUCUUCCGGGGCAGUCUCUGUUCAUCGAAGUCGUUACCUUUUUUUUAAUGGAUCAGUUCCAGUGGUAAGCAGUAAUUUUCUUAGAACUCGGAUCUUUAAUUCGAGUUUCUGUGUGAAUUAAUAAUAAAAAAUUUUCAUUACACGCAAUUUAAGCUACGAAUUACUUUUUGCAAAGUUGAAUAUGGAAUUGGAGAAAUUAAGUAAUUUAGAAUGUUGGUAAAAAUUGACGAACAUAUCUCCAAUUACAGUAAAACCUCUCUACAGUCAUAACAUUAUAACAAAAUUAAUUUUAUUACUAUGUUGAGGUAAUAUAGGUUUAGUUACAAAAUUAUUGUUUUAAUAUGGUUAGUGUCAAGUGAUAUAAAGGUUAAGUAUGCAGUACAUUAAUAAUUAAAUAAUGAAGUGUCAAAUCUAAUGUAUAUAUAUUAAUGAUAUAGAUAGACAUAGUUUUAAAAAACUAAUUAAUGUAUAUUUAUGUAGUGUUAUGAAUAUGGAAAGUCAAGCCUACACUUUACAUUAUCCUUAAUUUUUUCUCUCAGUUAAAUUCUACAAAUAUUGUACAAUGGUUGGGCAAGAACUCUAAAUUAAGAAUAAAUUAUUGUCACAAAUAAUUUUAGAAAAUAUUUUAUUUCGUCUUAAACCUUUAAUAUAAAUAAACAUAUAUAUAUAUAUAUAUAUAUAUAUAUAUAUAUAUAUGUGUGUGUGUGUGUGUGUGUGUGUGUGUGUGUGUGUGUGUGUGUGUGUGUGUGUGCAUAUUUUGCAACGUAUAGAUAAUUGUUAGUAUAUGGAGACAAGUCUUUUAAGGUAGGACCUAGGAAAAUUUAUAACUUACUACACUGUGGAGUUUUUAUUCCUUUUUAUAAUUGGCUCAUAUUGAUACAUUCUUACACAAAAUAUUACCAUUGACAUAUUUUACUACAAUUAGUUUAGAACAUUUGUUAGGAAAAAAAAGAAAAGAAAAGAAAACAUCCCUUGGAUGUAGCUCUCCUGACUAUUUAAAUCUUUUAAGGAAAAAAAGAAAAAAGAAAAACUGGCACAUUCAAAUCUUGAAGCAAUUACAUUAAAAUCUCUCCAUAAUGAUAGGAAUAAUCUCCAUUUAGUAAUAAAAAAUUUUGUUCGCAAUUUAGGCAGAGUUAUAAAUAAGAAUAAAAUCCUCAUUGUAAUAAGUUAUAUUUAUUAUGGAUCCCAUCCUAAGGAAUUCGUCUCUAUAUAGUAAUAAUUAUUUGCAUAUUAUAAAUAUAUAUGUUGCAUUAGAUUAAAUGAACUUGUCUCCACAUACUACUUAGACAACGAGAGAAAAUUAUUAAAGAGAACACAAAUAUUUAGAUAUUUUUAAGAUUACUUUGCAUAUUUAUAACAAUAAUACAUUGAUAUAUGUAUUAGUUUUUUGAUAUAUUAGAUUUAACAUGCUCUAUUAAUAAAUUAUUAAUACGAUGCAUAUUCAUCUCUAUAUCCUUGCAAUAAAAGUAACUAAGUUAUAACAAUAAUUAUUAAUAAAUUAUUAAUACGUUGCGUACUUCAUCUCUAUAUCCUUACAAUAAAAAUAACUAAGUUAUAAUGAUAAUUUUUGUAACUACAUACUUAUUAGGUUUUAACUACUUCAUAAUAAUAAAUUAGUUUCGUCCUAAUAUUAUAAUUAUGUAGAGUUGUAGUGUAUAGACACACCCAAUUUAAAUAGUAUAUCAAAUAAAAUUGUCCCCACGAAAAAGAAAAAAGGGGUAAAGGAUUCUCAUUUCUUCAAACAUUAGGAUCACGUUUGUACAAGUGCGAUGCCUUUCUUUUGAAGGCAACGUCAGUGGGUACCCAAUAGGACGUGUGUAAAUCUUUCCAAAAUUUCUCUGGUAUAACGGACAGAGAUCAUUACUUUUCUCUUCCAUAUACCACAGCAGCUUCAGUUAAUCAGACUCAAUCAAUUUUCUUGGUUUCUUCGCUUAUCAAAAUUCCAAAAUAUGGGUAGCAUAUUUCAAAUCACAUGCGAUGGUGCUUUUUUCAAUCGUUGCUUGGAUUGCUUUCUUGGAAAAGUAGCAAACACAAGUAAGCUCCAAGAUAACCUUGUUGCCUUGGAGACUGAAUUGGGAAAACUAAUCGCAGCAAAGAACGAUGUGAUGAUGAGGGUUGUCAAUGCUGAACGGCAACACCUGAGAACGCUGGACCAAGUGCAAGUGUGGCUUUCGAGGGUGGAAGCUGUUGAAACUGAAGCUGAUGAAUUGAAAAGACACGGCUCUCAAGAAAUUGACAAAUUAUGUGUUGGAGGCUACUGUUCCAAGAACUGCGCGUCAAGCUACAAGUUCGGGAAACAAGUGGCUAAAAAGCUACGGGAUGUGCAGACUUUAAUCGACGAAGGAGUUUUUGCGGCGGUGGCUACCGAGGUGGUGCCUGAGAGAGCUCCAGAACCUGUAGCAGAUGAAAGACCCACUGAGCCAACAAUAGUAGGCUUGCAAUCACAACUUGAACAAGUUUGGAGAUGUCUUGUAGAAGAAUCAGUGGGAAUCAUUGGCCUAUAUGGUAUGGGCGGUGUUGGUAAAACUACACUAUUGACCCAUAUCAACAAUAAAUUUCUUGAGAGUCCAACCAGUUUUGAUUGUGUGAUUUGGGCCGUAGUUUCAAAGGACUUGCGACUCGAAAAAAUUCAAGAAGAUAUUGGGAAAAAGAUCGGUUUGGUUGAUGAUUCAUGGAAGAGUAAAAGUGUAGAGGAGAAAGCUCUCGACAUCUUCCGGAGUUUAAGAGAGAAGAGAAUUGUAUUGCUGUUAGAUGAUAUAUGGGAGCGGGUUGAUUUAACAAAAGUGGGCAUUCCACUUUCCGGACCAAAAAAUACUACAUCAAAAGUCGUAUUCACAACCCGUUUCGUCGAUGUUUGUGGUAGCAUGGAAGCUGACAAGAAGUUCCAGGUGGCAUGCUUAUCAGAAGAGCAUGCUUGGGAACUGUUUCGAAAAAAAGUUGGGGAAGAAACUCUUGAGAGUGAUCAUGAUAUCGUUGAGCUAGCCCAAACUGUGGCCAAAGAGUGUGGUGGUUUGCCACUCGCACUUAUUACUAUUGGUCGAGCUAUGGCCUUCAAAAAGACAGCCGAGGAGUGGAGUCAUGCAAUUGAUGUGCUAAGAACA
This 45878-nucleotide long non-coding RNA is filed under the name Citrus x clementina. RNAcentral describes it as "Citrus clementina (C. clementina) long non-coding RNA (CCLE_LNC001436)". The record is from RNAcentral. Lineage: Eukaryota; Viridiplantae; Streptophyta; Magnoliopsida; Sapindales; Rutaceae.